RNAcentral lists this long non-coding RNA (63190 nucleotides) under Linum usitatissimum (flax). RNAcentral describes it as "long non-coding RNA (LUSI_LNC002983)". The record is from RNAcentral. Lineage: Eukaryota; Viridiplantae; Streptophyta; Magnoliopsida; Malpighiales; Linaceae.
UCUACUACAGUUCUAAGGUGAUCUGCAAGUACACAGAAAUUGACUUGGUGGUUUAGAACACUGAAUUAUUAUGAUGUCCAAGGGCGACAAGAUCGUGGAAUUUCACUUAUUAAACUAGUGAAGAAGUUGAUUAAAGAACACCUCCAGCUGUCAAAAAACAGAGGAAGGAAAGAACACUUUGGAAGAGAAAGAACAUGAGGAUAAUCUGAUAAUCUGACAGUCUAUGUUCUGAAAUUUCAUCCAUUUAAUGGUUAGGAAACGAACUGAAUCAAGAUCACAUGCCAAGAACUGAUCUUUUCUGCAUUAUAAACUUCAGUUUCCGUCGUGUUGAAAUUACAUCAUCAAAACAUUCAAGACAAAAAAAACAGGGGAGAGAGAAGCUUCCAGAGAAGGGAAACAGGGGAGGAAGCUUUUUCAACGCCGUCAGAAGCGCCGUUGUUUGAUUUGUUUCAUCAGACUAAAUGAGGACCCCAGCAAACGACAUGCAAGAUCCUUUCAGCUCGUUCAGCUUCUCUUGUUGGAUUCGUCUUGCUCCUCUGAAAUUCGUGAUGAUGAUGGCGAUCAACUUCUUCCCCUGUUGACUGGUCUUUCUUCUCCUCCUCUGCUCUGCCUGAAGAAGCAAAAAACGACGUCGGAGAAGAAGGAGAAGAUACCCACCAUCUCCCUUGACUCUCGCCGGAUUCCGCCGCCUGAGAAGCUUUUACUCCUCCACCCAUCUUCUUCUCUCUUCUGAAAAACCACUCUCUGCUCGGAACCUUAAAAGCUAAUCCAGAACUUGAGACGGGGGCCCUGGAGGUUUAAUUUUUCCUUGUGGUGGGAAAUUGGAGUUGCAGAGAGGGUCCAUUGAAUUAUAUAAGGUGGACAGAUGGUUGGUUUUCGUUUUAUUUUAUUUAGUUUUUUUGUUUUCUGGUUUGAAAUUGAAGAACUCGGUGGGCUGGCUGAGGUUCCAAGGUACAGGGGAGGAUGGUUAAAAGGGAAGUUCUUGAUUGACAAGGAAAUGGCUGUUUGGAGUUAAUGAGCUUUUUGUCAUAAUUACUCUCUGUGGUUGUUACUGAUUCUUCCAGCUCGUGGGUUUUCUCUAUCAGCCCAUGGAUUUUGACAUUGCUCGAUUCGGAAUUCAGGCCGGAAGUUGGGGCUCGAACAUGAUUCGAUACUGUCUUAGUCUACUAAUAAGUUAUUGGCACGAUGGUGGUAAGAGUUAUAUUUGGAUUAAAUUAAAUCUUGAACUUAGAAUCAUCUUUAACUGAAUUAAUUACUAGAGGGUUGGAUAGUAGGGUCACACAAAAAAAACAUGUCGUGUUAGUCUUUAUUUCAACCAUAAACAAUGUUGAUGGGGAUCGGCAUAUGUUGUUUUUUGAACUCUGCGCGGCACCAAAAUUUAAAGCUUUUGAGUUACAGGGAAGUAUGGUAGCAAGGCUAAAACUUAGAGGAAUUUACGGAGGGGCACCACCAAGAGUGGGACAUGCAGCAUUUAUGCUAAUGAGGUUUGGAUUUGUCUAUAUCUGAUUCGAAGUUUCGAACAUAAUUUGAAUUCCGAUUACGAUUUUUUAUGUAUAUAUUAGAAAGUUUUGGAGUUUUAGGUUACGUUGAGAUUUCGUGAGUACCAAACACGAUUAAAAAAGUUGAUUUCGUUACCGGUUGAAUUUAGCUAUAAGCAUACAAAUGACUAAACUUAGAAUGUAACUGAUAUAAUCUAUUGUCGAAAGUCCUCUAAUUUGGACUACAUUAAAACAUUUUUUUUUUCGGAUUAAAAUAUUUCGACUAUCCUCAUUUUGCUAUAUAGUAAAGAGUUAGUUUUUUUAACAAUUCAAAACCUCCAUUCUUGUAUUUCCGAAAAAACAAUAGUUACGGAACAUAUAAAAUAUCCUAUCAAAAAUGUAGUUCUCAUUAAUAAAAUUAUAUUAAUCACGGAUCUUUAUANNNNNNNNNNNNNNNNNNNNNNNNNNNNNNNNNNNNNNNNNNNNNNNNNNNNNNNNNNNNNNNNNNNNNNNNNNNNNNNNNNNNNNNNNNNNNNNNNNNNNNNNNNNNNNNNNNNNNNNNNNNNNNNNNNNNNNNNNNNNNNNNNNNNNNNNNNNNNNNNNNNNNNNNNNNNNNNNNNNNNNNNNNNNNNNNNNNNNNNNNNNNNNNNNNNNNNNNNNNNNNNNNNNNNNNNNNNNNNNNNNNNNNNNNNNNNNNNNNNNNNNNNNNNNNNNNNNNNNNGAUUAUAAAAAUUAGGGAAAGAAAAAACAAAAUAUUUUGAUAUUUUCUUGUCCCAUACCAUGAUGCUGACGUGUUAUAAUCAUGGGCCUAUUGUCCGGGCUAUCGGACGUCACAAGAGACUGGCAAACAAAUUGUGACAAAGGGCAUUUUUGUUAUUUUUAGAAGAAAUUUAAAAUUUAAAAUUCAAUAAUUUUUAAAAAUUUAAAAUUUAAAACCCAAUACUAUAAACUUUAAAUUUAAAUAUUAUUUUUAUUAAAAACUAAAAAAUAAAUUCACCCUAAUUUUAAUGAAUUUUUUUAUCCAUCAAAUUUUAUAUAUUUCUCACAAAAUUACAAUAAGGAUCUCCUUACAAAAACCCACACGCUAGUCGAACCGAAAAUAUACAUUCAACCGAGAAAGAAACAAAAACCAACCGACCAUCCGGUUCAGCUCGCACGUGAUAGCCGGCGUCACGUGUCGAAAUAAACUCAAUGUAAGCAAAAACUGUGUGCUGACUGUUGAAUCCUUGAGCUCAAUCACCGACACGUUGACACAGACGCAUUAAACAACAAUUGCAAGCUUACAACAAGAACAAAGGAAAAGACACUUCUCUCCCUGCGACAUCCCCACUCCCGACAAAUAGUCAUAUAGACGAGAGGAUAAUUACGUCAAUUCUCCCAUCAAACCUGAGCGGAAUUUCCAAAACCAGGAGCUGCCUCGAGUGAAAACCAGCAGCAGAGUUCUCCUUCUCCCACCUUAUAUAUAACUUGCCAUCCUCCUCCCAGUUUCCUUCAUCAAACUCUCUCAAAAUCAAAUCAAGUUACUCGGUGUUUUUGGAUAACAACGAAUUUUACACGAAAGAAGGGAAGGAAUUAAGAAUAUGAGUUCAACCAGCAAAGCGUGGGGGGUGGCAGCGAGCAUCGGAGCGGUGGAAGCACUGAAAGAUCAACUGGGGUUCUGUAGGUGGAACUAUGUGAUCAAAUCCGCUCAACAAUACGCUAGGAACAACGUCAGAUCGGUAUCUCAAGCUUCAUCGAAGCUUUCUGCAGCAUCGGUUUUUGACAGAGUGAAGGAAGCAGAGAAGGCUAGAAAGUCUGAAGAGUCGAUGAGGAAUGUCAUGUACUUGAGCUGUUGGGGCCCCAAUUGAUCGACCAUUUACUCUGUUUCUUUUGGAGUUUUGAUGAUUGUAAAAUCUGGCAACUUCUCUGAAGAGGGUUGAUUCCGUUUGGUGUAUAUUAGCUGAAAAUGGAAUACGAAAGACUCCUCAUUUCUUACUUCUCUGUUUCUUCUUCUUACUGAUGAAUUCUAUCUCCAUUGGAUAGAUAAACCAGAAGCUUCUAACUUUUGAGGCAUUUGGAAAGACUGGAAAUUGGGUUGUUAACAGGAUCUAAUCCAUCAAUCUUGUUCGAGGAAGCUGCAGGAUUCCGAUUAGUAGACAAUACUGAUAUCAGAUGAUAAUUAAGAAAAUUAAUGAAUGUUGGUUGAAAUCUUGCAAACUCUAAAGAGUGUUGCUUUAUUUGUAAAUAUAUUUUCAUUAAGUGCAGAUUUGCAGAGACAAGCAUGAGCGGUGACUGAUUCCAUAGUUAAUGUCGAGUUAACAUAAGAUUAAUAACAUAGUUAACAUAAGAUUAACAACAUAGUUAACAUACAAUGAAGUAACAUAAAAUUAACAUGUUCAAUAUAGUAACAUAUAGUAACAUGUAAUUAUCCUUCGGUAGCUAGGUGAUAUAUUGCUUCGAUUUCUAGCUCUGUGCCUUUAGUUCCAUUUAUUUCAUUCAGUUUGUUUCUGUAUUUAGAUUGUUUAGAACUCUAUUAUUCUAACACACACUCCCUUUUGCCACCGUGCGUCAACUUUGCUCAGUUAGAAGCAAAACCGUGUGCUGAAUCACAACAUCAUCCGCCACGUAUAACACAGCUUCUGAAGCAACCUAGUCGCGACAAAAACACAACAAGACGUAAUACCGCAGAGCUUUGGCUGGCAAAACCAGCAGCGCCAGAACUCUCUCUGUUAAAAACCAUGGCUUUCCUUUCCUCAUAAAUAAGAAACCUUUCCCCUUUCCAGUAUUCAUCAAACUCUCAAAUCCAAAGUUCAGAACCUAAACCAACUUCAAAGAAGGUAUCUUUUUGAAAGAAAAGCACAGAUAUGAGUUCAACCAGCAAGGCUUGGGCAGUUGCAGCAAGCAUUGGAGCGGUCGAAGCACUGAAAGAUCAAUUGGGAUUCUGUAGAUGGAACUACGUCAUCAGAUCGGCUCAACAGUAUGCGAGGAAUAACGUUAGAUCGGUAUCUCAAGCAUCCUCCAAGCUUUCGUCGAGUUACCCUGUUUCUGCUGCAUUGAAAGAAGUAGAAAAGGCUCAACAAUCUGAAGAAUCGUUGAGAAAAGUCAUGUACUUGAGCUGCUGGGGUGCUAAUUAAAGAAUCUUUUUGCUUAUUUUAUAGCUUUUGGUUACUGUAAAUCUGGCAGCUCUAUAGAGGGUUGCUGCAAUUUUUGUAAAGUUGAGAGGGAAAUGGAAUACAAAGAGAUGACCUUUUCUGGAUAGCUAUGAAGUUCUAUGUGUUCUUUCCACAUCUGAAUGUUUCUUUCAUGCUUCUUAUUUGGCUUCAUGAAUGUCUGAGUGGGCAAGAGCUCAACUUGAAUCCAAAUUUUGGAUUCUGUUUGAACUGUUGGAUUACUAGUGCUGGAAUUUAUGGAUCAGAAAUUUUUCAAUAACCACAACCAUAGGUUGAAUGAUCAGAUUCACUUGUUAUUAAUCCAUUUUCAUUCUCAGGCUUUUACACAGUGGUCAUGACAGUUCAACAAGGAUAAACUUUCACUGGAACAAACUCCAUCAGCCAUCAACCAACUUAAGUUAUAAUUGCAACUCUGACCUCAGUUAAACCACCAUAUGUAGUGUCAUAUUUGGGAUUUGCAGAAAGUUCUGUUCAUGUAAAGCCAUGAACCUGAAGGAUGACAUUAGCAACUAGUUAUAAACCAAGAUCAUACGAAAUCGACAGUGUACUCGGAGCUUCAGAAUUCCCAUAAACAAAGGGUAAAAACCAGCUGGUUUUUGUCUUCCUCCCCAGUUCCCUAUAGCUUAUUUUGUACUCAGCUGAUCCAAAACCAUACUCUGAAUCUGACCACAAUCCACCAAAGCUACGUCAUUACGUCAUUGUACAACAUAUCCCAUUAGUUGGUGCCCACCAAAACAAAAAGAAAACCAGGGGUGGGGUGAUCAAUACCACUGAUCAAGCCCACCAACCAAUCAAAGCUCCCAAUUCUUCUCUUAUAAAUAAACCAAACCCCUUAUCCCUUACAAUUCUCACAGCAAAAACUGAAACAAUGAGUUCAACAAGCAAAGCAUGGAUGGUGGCAGCAAGUAUUGGAGCAGUGGAGGCACUCAAGGACCAACUUGGUUUCUGCAGAUGGAAUUACAUCCUCCGAUCUGCUAAUCAGUAUGCCAAGAGCAACGUCAGAUCCAUCUCUCAGGCUAAGAAGAACAUUGCUCCUUCCUACUCUGCCGCAGAGGUUUCGAGUAGAUUGAAGAAGGCUCAGCAAUCUGAAGGGUCGUUGAGGAAAGUUAUGUACUUGAGCUGUUGGGGUCCUUACUGAUAAACAGUAGAUGGAACUUUUACACUGUUGUCCGUAGUAUAUAGUUAGAUUCAUUGGUUCUAAGCUAAGAACCCAUGUAACUUCUCAAUGAAUUGAAAUAGAAACAUUAGAAACGUUCUAUAAUUUCCGGCUUAAUAUCCAUUUAUCGUCAUUAAUCUCAUUCACAUAUUGGAUGAAUUGGUAUAGUCAUUUGUUAACUUUACAAUAAUUAAGUGGAGUUGUUUUGAUGGUAAAGUUGUGUGUUCAAUGAUUUGGAGAUUUUGUGUUCGAAUUCAGUACAUCCUACGAACAUACACUACUACAAUUACCUAUUUUUUAUCUUAUAUCGAUCGAGAGUCUCGAUUUACUUCAAUAAAAAGAGAAAAAGUUGACAGAUUAUUAAUUACUAUAAGUUCAAUGGUAUAUACGUUACUUUUAGAAGUUUGAUGUCCAUAUAUUGUUUCGACCCAAUAGAUAGGUGAUUGCAAUUGGUAUGUAUAUGGAUAUCUUUAAUACUGCUUUUUAUUAAUAAAAGUCGAAUAAAGGAGGAAUAAGGAAAGAAUAAGAGUAGAAUAACACCGGUGAUUAACGUGAUUUUCGACCUUAACAUCGACGAAUCCAUGGAAAGAAAGGGGAAUAUUAUUAGGGAUUUUUGGUGAGAGUGACGGUUUAAUUACNNNNUGACGGUUUAAUUACAUAGAAGGAGAUUAACACUCCUUAUAUACAUAAGAGUUUUGAUCAUAACGGAUCUAACCCGAUAUACAUCAAUAGCCCGUCAAAUUGAUGGUGGCUGUGCAACAUAAAUUUAUGUGCCAAAAACCAAUAUCGAACUGUAGAAAGAGACUUUGUGAAUAAGUCGGCGAUCUGAUCUUCAGAAGUAUUGUAGGCCAACUUAAUAAUUCCGUCAACGAUCAAAUCACGAAUGUAAUGUACAUGAGUCUCUAUAUAUUUUGUGUGAUCAUAAAAAACUAGAUUAAUAACUAUAUGUAUAACACUAAUGUUAUCAAAUAACUAACAAGAAUGUCGACUUCACCACCAAACUCAUCAAGCAAGCUAAUCAACAACACGAUUUAUAAGCAUAGCUCGACUUCACUUAGACUUAAGCCUAUAAUUUCCCUUACGGAAAAAAACAAAACCAACCGACUCACAUUUUGUCCGGUCGAGCCACUACCUGGUUCACUCAAUCCAUGCAACCAAUACCGUCUAACCACAACCCAAACCACCACCUCAAAAAAGACCAAACCUCUCCCUGUAUCAUCCACCCACCAACUACAAACAUAAGGCUAUUUAGGUCACUUCCACAAAAAUACCGUCUCACAAUUUCAAAACCAGGAGCUGGCCAAGCGAAAAACCAGCAGCACCCACCUCCAUGAUAAAUAACCCAUACCCGCCUUUCUCCUCUACACAAACAUCAACACACAAACAAUCAGUCAAAUCGAUCAGGAGUUUAAAACUUUUUACAGAGUGAUUUCCCAAAAAGAUGAGUUCCACGAGCAAAGCAUGGACGGUGGCGGCGAGUAUCGGAGCGGUGGAGGCGCUGAAGGACCAACUGGGUUUCUGCAGAUGGAACUAUAUCAUCAGAUCUGCUCAUCACUAUGCUAAGAGCAACGUUAGAUCCAUCUCUCAGGCGAAGAAGAGCCUUGCACCGUCAUCUGCUAAGGUUGUUUCGAGUAGGUUGAAGAAGGAGAGUCAGUCUGAAGAGUCGUUGAGGAAAGUUAUGUACUUGAGCUGCUGGGGUCCUUACUAGCUAGAGAAACAGAGAUUUUUCUGCUAUGUAAUAGUUUUAGCGGGAUGUAAAAGUUCGUAGAUAUUUGAAUCUCCUCAAUGGAAUGGAAAGCUGGGUUUUUAUUUUAUUAUGGAAAGCUUGUGAAAUCUUAGCAACUUUGAGUGAUGGAUUCAGUGGCGGAAUUGACUGUCGAAAUACAGAGCUCCUGGUUGUCUCCAAGCGUCUGGCUUUUCCAUGUCGUAUAUAUAACCAGCCCGUGCACUUCCCUUCUCCAAACCAAAAAACCAAACACAACCCAGAUUCCAAAUCAAGAUUUCAACACCAACCACAAGAAAAUUCAAAUUCAAAUUAAACAUCAGAUCGACGAGCAGAGCAUGGAUGGCGGCUGUGGCUGUGGGAGCAAUGGAGGCACUGAAGGACCGAGGGCUAUGCAGAUGUAAUUAUGCUUUCAGAUCGAUAAAAAAGAAUGUUAAGAGUAAGAUCAUUAGAUCAUCGAUGAAGAUUUCUGCAAGUAGGAAGGUUGCUGUGGGGAAAAGCCGAAAAGGAAGAGAGAAACAGAGGAGUCUCUCAAGACUGUAAUGUACUUGAGUUGUUGGGGUGCUUACAACUAAGUUUAUUAGAUCUGAGUUAUGGAUAUGAAGAAUGAUCAAUAUCAGUUUUGACUGUGAAAUUUCGUUUGCUGAUCAAAUAUCAAUGAUCAUCCUCCUCUGCAAAUUUCCCAUUGUUUGGUCAGGUCUAAUCAUUCUGAUGAUCCUGUCCAAAACUGGUAGAAGCUUCAGGAUGAAGUAAAAAUAAACCUGAGUCCAUAGGAGAAUGAUAUUCUUGGCUUGGAAAUUUUGAAGAUGGUCCAUUAAUCCGUUUUGCAGUAGGAUUCUAUAACUUUACAAUAGGAAAGUAGGUUACAUUUAUGGCUGUCAAGCACUAUACUCCCUCCACUGAAUUUCGUAACUCUCUCGACUACACACUCUUCUCGUGUUAGUAUCAUAUAGCGUCCUCAUAUACGUGUUGGGCGACGUUUCUUCAUCUUAUGAGGCAAUCCUUCAUGUGUUGAAGGAUUGUUCUUUUUGCUCUUAUCAUUUGGACUCAACUUGCUCUUCCUUACAAAGAUUUUACGUUCUUCAAAACACCAUUCAUAACAUAUAUCAUAUCACCUCGAAUCUAACACCAGACUUACAAGUUAUUGUAACAACGUAUCUUUGGAUCGACGAGUAUUGUAGUGAAUGCCUCUAUACUUAUAUUAACUCGCAUUAAGCACGAAAUGUUAAAAACAAAAACCAUUACCUCGAUCGAUAGGUGAAAUCUCAAAGGACUCACUAAAUCCAAAAGACCACAACAGAACAAGCACCUUCCUCGGCUCGACGGUGUGGAUUUUCCGCCGCCAAAAUUCAGGGGAGGAGACUGACAGCAAGACGACAAAAAAACCAGCCCGCCGGUUAGCCAAAACCAAAUGCCCUCACACAGUCGGCAAUGGGCGAAAAACCACAACCUAGAAAAUGUAACGUAGCACCCUUUUUUCAAGCUCCAUAAUCAUUUCAGGACCAUGUCACGUACAUCGUACCACAGCCGUAUACAUAUAAAUAACAUCAUCAAUCCUCUGUUUUGUACAACUUGCCAUUCGAUCUCAUUCUUAAUUAGUUACAAGAUUAGUACUAGUAAUGAGCUGGAAGGGGAAGGCGUGGACAUUCGCCGGGAGUGUGGCGACGGUGGAGGAGCGGAAAGAUAAGAACCUCCGCUCUCUAACCACCGCUGCUGCUACCGCCACGGCGGCUUCUUCGAGUACUGCUACCAAGUCGUUUCAGCAGUCGGGAAAUGAGAACGAGAGGAAGAAUAGGAAGAAGAAAGAAGUGUCGUCACAGGAGGAAUCUCUUCGGACUGUUAUGUAUUUGAGUUGUUGGGGUCCUAAUAACUAAACUAAUGUGGGUUGAUGUGUUCAUCAAUUUUGGGGCUUUCAGGGGUGAUUUUCAUCUUGAUAAUUAGACCCGUAACCCAUUGUGGCUUGUUUCGAUGGCAGAAUCAGAAAUUUGAUCCUCAUUAUGUAUUUACUAAUGCAUCAUCUAUUGCACUUCUAUAAUAUUUACAAUUUUAAGGGUUCUCAGAGCUGAUAUUAUUGGACCAAUUAUACAUUGCAGCUAGUUUCGACGGAGAAGUUAGAAAUUUAGUACUUGUUUAUGUAUUUAAUAAUGAAUUGAUUGUUAAAACGAUGAUUUGAAAUGAGUAAUUAUGGAUUUCAUAUCGUAUUUUUAUAUGUCUCCUCAAAUAAAAGUUAAUUUAUUGGUUUGAAGUUUGCACAUGCCCAUCAUACCUUGUGUUUAAAUAAAUUGUUAAUAUUGGGGAUUGUGGAGAUUCGAACACGAUUGUGUUGGUCUAAAUGCUCUGAUACCAUAUUAUAAACCGUUACAUCUCAAUAACUCGAGUUAUUAUGUUUUGACGCAGAUGACUCCACGAGAAGAAAAAAGAUAGAAAGCAAUAAACCUAAACAUCAACCCAAGGUGUAAGGACUACCGACAACAUCCCUGAAAGAUAUCCAAGAACCAGAAUGCCACAAAAUGAACGUCUCCAUUAGCUGAGCGGCGAACUGUCUUGACAGAGAAGUCAAAAAAAGCAGAUAACAACCCCAAAAUCUCUCGGAUAAUAGCUCCUUCUCAAAAGAGGAAAACGCGACCAUAAUGAAGAUGAGUCACAACGAGUUCUGCAUCCCCUUCAAAAUUCACCUAUAAAAAUUCAAAGCGACAACAUUAAAGACAAACAUCUCAAAUUAUUAAAAAAAAAUUAUUAUAAAUCUUAUACCAUUUUUUCACAUCUCGCACCGCAUCCGUUAUGCAAUGGAAUGGCAUGCUUGAAUAAUUGGCCGACAAAAUAAUUCAGAUUUAACGAUCAUAAAAGUGGAAAAACAAAUUGGAUUCAAAAAGAAAAAAAAAAUUAUUGCAUUUUUAAAUUUAGGAGUGAUUAAAGAGCCACAUGUGCCAACUCCACAAACAUGCUUUCAUCAUCACAAGUUUUCCUUUUUAUUCUCUUUUCCAUAAUCUCAAGCAAUAAUUAUUAUCCAUCAAACCUUAUUUAAUUCCCACUUAAUGGAACAUUACUGAAGAGAAAUGUCAACCCUCUUUAGCCAAUUUAAUUGCUCCAUCAAGCAACUUAAUCACUUUCUCAUCAAUAUGUUCCACUUUAACUAUCUUCUUCAAUAAUAAAUUCAAGUUUCCAAUAAACGUUAAUUUGUGAUUUCACUUUUUACUAGUAAUGAAAUUUUUUUUAUAAAUUCAAGCGCAUCAACAUUUAUUUUUCAUUCAAAAUCAAAUAAAGUUGGAAAAUUUUAAGAACGCCAUGCAACAAAUGCAAUGAUAAAGUUGGAUCAUUAAUAGAAAUAUGGUAUACAUCAAAAGAUAAAUUAUGUUAAAAGCCAGCUAAAUAGUCAACAACUUGGUUACCUUCCAGAAAAAUAUGCUCAACUUUAAUCAAUCAGUCCCGAUCCAACAUACUAAUAACGAAAGUUGAACUGCAACAUGCUAUCUGAGCUACUACAAUCACACUAUGAGAUAUCCUCUCUCCUAAGUUGUCUAUGUUCCAUUCAAGAGUCAUUGGCCGAAAUUUAUCCUAACUCUUAUUUAAAAGCCAAAAUUUCUACUUAUUUUGAUGAUCAAACAACAAAAUUACCUUAUAUGAAUAUACGAGAAAGAAUGAUCUCAACACGAGUGAUAUGUGUUUCCAAAGGUACUAGGAGAAAAUUCAAACUUUUUUUUUACUUCUUUCAAAUCUCAACUCAACUCUCUUUUACUAAUCUCGUUAUAAAAAUAUUGGUCGGACUAAUAAAUAAAUUAGACAAGUAUCAAUUUUUAAAAUAAUACGUUUUUUUAAAGAAAAAAGAGGAAAGUGAUACAAAAAGGUCCAAUUUAAAGGCGCGGAUUUAGCGUUGCUUUGUUCUUCCUCCUCUGCAACUCGGAGAAUAAGAAGAGAAGUAAAGAACCAGAGAGAGCCAAGUAAAGAAACUAAAAAGACACGAAAAGCCAGCUUCGGAUUUCCCUAAAGAAAAUGCCUUUCUGGCAAACGGCGGGAAAUGCAACUACUACAUCAUCAUCUUCAUCCUCUUCCUCUUCCAACAACACUUCUUCCACUUCUUCCGGCUCCAUGAACAGCACCGCCCACUACAACAACCGACCCUCCGCCGCCGGCGAUCAUCACGGCGGAGGAGAAAGAUCGACGUCGUCUGCGGCGGCCACGCUCUCUACUGCUACUGCCGUUUCGCUUGUGGCAAAGUCCUUAAUUCCCACCCGCAGACGGCUCAAGCUCGAUCCUGCUUCCAAGCUCUUCUUCCCUUGUAAGUAAUUUGAAACGGGUUUCUGUUCCUUUCGUCUGUGUUUUUGUUGGGUCGUUGAAAUUUCUUUAAAUUCAAGCUAAUUUUGAUUAGGUUUAGAGAAAGUUGAUAAGCUCCCCUGUUUCUGAUUUCUAGGGUCAAUGUUGUUUGAUUUUGUAGAUGAACCGGGUAAGCAAGUGAGGAGUGCGAUUGGGAUUAAGAACAUUUGCAAAUCCCCAAUUGCUUUCAAGGUAUGUAUUCAAUUGGAUGUCAGUGACUAUUUGUAGAAAUGAUGAAUGAUGAAGAACCCUAAUUUGAUAGAUCUUGCUUCUUCUGCAUUUCCAGUUAGCAAUCUUUGAUAAUUAGUAGGAUGACAGAAAAAUUUGGAACUGUUUAACAGAAAAUUAUAUGCCCUUUCUGCCAAGCUGUCAUUAAUGAUAAACAAAUUUGAUUCCUUACUUUAAUUGCUUCAUAAUUCUAUAAUGCAGUUCCAAACAACUGCGCCGAAGAGUUGUUACAUGCGUCCACCGGGAGGGAUACUUGCACCCGGUGAAAGCCUUAUUGCAACCGGUAAAACGAUCGACAUUCAUCCGAUACUUCUAACCGUUUUAUCUUUCUUUCGCUUAUGAAUUGUAUAAUGUUGAGCUUAAUCUGUACAGUGUUCAAGUUUGUGGAGCCACCGGAGAACAAUGAAAAGCAACUACUUGAUGUGAAGAGCAGAGUCAAGUUCAAGAUCAUGAGCUUGAAGGUCAAAGGAGAAAUGGAAUACGUCCCCGAGCUGGUAAUGCAAAGAUUCUCAUACACUUGUGUGUUUACAAUUCGUAAUGUAAUGUAGGAAACUUAGGAAAUGAUCUGUUUGAUUCCUUGUUUGUGAAGUUCGACGAGCAGAAAGAGCAAGUAGCAGUUGAGCAAAUACUGCGAGUCGUUUUUCUCGACCCCGAAACCCAAACCCCUGUAAGUACGCGAACAAAAAUAGCUAUCGAAAGGAUCAAACUUUACGAAUCCGAAUUGAAAUUUUGGUUUCUUUUCCUUCAAGGCAUUGCAAAAGCUCAAAAGACAGCUAGCUGAGGCGGAAGCUGAGCUCGAGAACCGGAAGAAGCCUCCAGAGGAGCCAAGCCCUCGAACUACUGCUGCCGCUGCUGCUACUGCUGCAGCUGGUGAAGGACUCGUCAUAGACGAAUGGGUAAGGACUAUCGAAAUCAACACUCAAUAGCAUUAUCUGACAUCAUUUCAUCAUAUAAUGAUUUCUUUUGGCAGAAGGAGAGGAGGGAGAGAUACUUGGCCCAGCAACAGGUUGAACUUGGUUCCAUGUAGAGUUGCUGCAUAUUUUGCCGAUUCUUUUGUUCUUGUAAACAUCGAGAGGUUUCAAUUUUUACUUUGGAAGAACAUCUGAUGCUGAUCUGUUUACAGUGCUUUGUUAAUUACUAAUUUGGUAUAUAUUCAUAAUGCAAUAUGCUGCUGGCAUCAAUCACUUUCACAGAUCAUUAUCAUGCACGUAUAAAACAGAUGAUCAAUCCACAGUUGAAAGAGAAUAAGGAAACAGAACUUAAUAAUUGAUUAUGAGCAUUAAUGGAGUCACUGUUUAUAAUGGGGUUCAAUAAUGAAAGUUCAUUAGUGAUGGUGAGAUGUCAAGUGGGAAUGAGCCAUGAUUAAAUAUUAGUGAUAAUUCUGUCUGUUUUGUCAAAAGGGAGUGUUUUCAAAAUCGGUGGUUCGACCGUAAACACUGCUCAAAACGGUUUGAUAUAAUUUUUGAUAUAAUAACAUUAUGGUUCGAUUAAUAUUUGGAAAGAUUUAANNNNNNNNNNNNNNNNNNNNNNNNNNNNNNNNNNNNNNNNNNNNNNNNNNNNNNNNNNNNNNNNNNNNNNNNNNNNNNNNNNNNNNNNNNNNNNNNNNNNNNNNNNNNNNNNAGCCUAAUAGGUACCACUUGGAUUACAAUAAAGAGCGAUAAACAAAAUAAAUGUAACGAAACAUUAACGAAAUAUUUGAAAUAUUCUGUACUGCGUGUAUCGUCAAAUCACAACAAGUACCAAAAAACUAAUCAACCAUUCACCUUUUAUUAGUGAUUUCAAUGAUACGUCUUUUAAAGGAAAAAAAAGAAUGAUAAGGGGAGAGGUGAAGGAUGAAAAAAAACGAGAAAAUGACGUGGAUGAGGGAUCGAUGAAUAUGUUGGAAAAGGAGAAGGAGAAAGAGAAGGAGAAGGAGAAGGAAAAAAGGAGGAGGAAGAGGAGAGGAUGAGGUGGAGAUAGACGAUGACUACGGUGUUAAUGGUUUUUUUUGUUGUGAUGGACAUAUGUUAUUUAUGUGUUAUCCGUAUAAUGUAUAUAUGGAUAAUAAAUUUUAUUUUGACUAUUUAUUGUUGAAUAUAUAGGAUGAAAAUGGUUCGAUUUGUGGUUAACCAUAUUACAAAUGAAGAAAAAAGUUUACCAAAACCACACCUAUUUUGUUUGCGGUUAACCACUAACAAAUUGUGAUUUCACGGUUUGGUUAGUGGUUAGUGGUUAACCACAAAACCACUUCUUUUAAAAGAAUCUGUUUUUAAUCUUAAAAAUACAAAAUUUUAGUAAAUUUGUGAACAUCACUUAAAUCAAAAUGUUAAAUAUAGUCAAGUUGAAAUGAAAAUUGGAAAAGAUAAAGGGAAUUGAAAUUAUGAAACCAAACAAGUACAUUACUAGUUCACAUUUAAAAUCUAGAAAUUAGUUAGGUCUUUUAAAAUGUAAUUUUAUUCGGUUUUAUUUUGGUUAACUAUACGGUUUGUGGUUAAACCACUAACCACAAAUGACACCAUUUUUUUAUUGCAAAAUGAACGCGGUUACUAGUUAACCAAAAACUACAAUUUUUAAUGCGAUUAGCGAUUAUAAUCAUAACCACAAAUCAAUUUCCACCCUUAUAACACAAAUAUAUAUUCAUCGGACAAAAAAAACCAUCCGCACCAAAUCGAAAGGGUGGAAAAUGGGCAUCCACCAUUGAAAUGGGGGAUCAUUACAUCUUAGGAAGUGGGAGGUGUCCUUUUCCCAUCAUCUAGUGUUGGAAUUUUGUGGCCUACUUAUCAAAUCCAACAUUUUUUUAACAUUAAAUUAUAAAUAAUCCUUUGUUGAUCGCUUAUAUAUUAUCCCAUUAAUAAUAUAAAAAUUUGGGAGGAAGGUGGGAUGAGAUUUCCUCGUCUGGUUGUCACUUUCAUUCGUUGCACUAUUGGGCCACUUGAUUCACUAGUACUCAAUUUUUUCUCUUAAUUAUUGCUCAUUUCACUUUCAACUUUAUCAAAUCACCCUUUCAAAAGGAUUAAAGUCAUCUAAUUUUGAAUUUUUUAUGACCACACCUCGUUGCGAUUUUCGUCAAAUAUACAACGCUAACAUAUUAUACUAUAGAAAAAAACGUUUCAUGUCAUAAGUCGGUCACUUUAUGUACGAUCUGAGUUACAUAUUGAUCACUUAUUUGUCAUAUUGUGACAUGUUCAGAUAAAAUUACUACGUAACAACCAUAUUUGAAUGACAUGACAUACUAACGUACCAUAUAUAUUCGAGGAAAAUCGUAUAAUAGAAUGUGUCGAAAGCGCAACAACAGUUACGUUUAGACGAUCGAGCGGUAUGAAAAGUCAAAGACGAGCCAACCGCAGCGGCCAUUUAUCCCCCAUGCAGCGAAUCGCAGUCUGCCAUUCUCUUAACCCUCCAUAACUCACCACAUGCUCCGGCCAAUUUUUGACCUUUUAAAUGAAUUAACGGCUCCGACCAAACUUCGGUGACCGGAGACGAACCGGGACACCAAGCCAUCCCAUUCGUGAACAACUGUCCCCUUCCCUUUUCCCGUCACGUGAACGAGCAGUGGGGUGGGGAUUCCUGAAUUGUCCAUCGAAAACGACAUCGUUUUAUUAUCCUCUUACGCCUACAAAUAAAUAAAAAUUUAUCAAGACGGUGACGUGUCGAUGUCUGAUUGCUACAAGAUAGAUGACUCAUGCAGCUAGCACCAAGACAAGUCCACCACCUGUACCGAUACCGGGAAGAAUAGUCCAAAACGACAUGGAAACAAGCCAAAAACGGCAUUAAAACUCACGCCUAUCAACCGAUUACCGCCUCUUCAGUCACAGACAUCAUCCGGUUCCCAGUUUCCUCCCCUGAGCUCUCUUUAAAUUCUCUGCCUCCAGCUUCGAACACUCUCAUCAAUCCAAGUUAACUCAGAAAGAACAGGGGAAUUUUGAUCCGAUCAUUUUUUGGAACCCUAAAAGGAAAAAUGAAUCAACUGAACAAAGUCUGGACGGCGGCCGCAGUAGCAGUAGCACAGGGGCAUCCGAAGGAGCAGGGGACUAAGUGGAGAUCCUGCUUGCAGUCUCUCCACCACGGCAAGAGGCAGAUGUUCUCCGGCGCCGGCGAUGGCUCCGAUCUUCGACCUCUUGCUGCUUCCGCGACGGUCGGAUCUGAUCCUUCCGACUUAGCGAGGCAGACUGACGAGUCGAUGAGACGAGUCAUGUACAUGAACUGCUGGGGACAGGUGUGAAUAUAAGACCACUGACCGCCGGUGACCGGUGAUGUUGAUCGUUGUUCAAAUCUUGUUAGUGGGUUUGUUACUAGCAAGUAAAUCCGACGACGUUGACGGAGUCAACGCUAGGACUCGCUGAGCUGGUCGAGAAGGGAGAAUCUGGAUUGUGGAUGUGAAAGUUGUAUAGACUGAUCUAAAGAUCUGAAAUUGUAGAUUACUGGAUCAAGAAAUCAAUAACACGGUUCUGGGUUUUUUAUGACAUCCCCUUUUGUUUCAUUUUAUAUCGGAUUUGCUUUGAUUUGCAACGUUAAAUUUUUGAAAUGGAAUUUGAACUUGAAGCGAUACAGAUAAGAAACCAGAGGGAAAAUGAGUUCUAAUGGCGGUGAACUCUAUUGUCCUGCAGAAGGAAACAGAAAGAAGAAUCAUUUCAUAUUUUUCAGAAGAAUCCAAAUCGAGCCCAGAGGAGUUUCUUCCAUGUCGGCAACAAAUUGCUCUAAUUCGUCUGCUUCCUCUGUUCCCCACCAUAAAUUCAGAUCGGAAAAACUUCAAAUCAUCAUCAGGAAACAAGUAAACAGAAAGGAAAAUGGCAGAUUUCAACAGCAAAGCAGCGUUCUUUCUCGCUCUGGUACUGAUAAUCUCCAACGCUGUCACCUUCUCCGCCGCCAUAAACAGCCAGCUUCCAUGUAAUAAUCCAGUUUCUUCGUCCUUGUGAAUUUAUUUUUAAUUUUUCUCUGGGACUGAUUGAUUUGCUUUGGCAGUUGAUGGAGUUGGGUAUAUGUCGCAUUUCCAGUGCCGGGAACAGUACACGGCCAAGGACGGCGAGCGGUGCUCCGAGGUAGCUCGAAAGUAUAAAAUGAGCGAUGAGUAUUUCAACUUGAUCAACCCGAAAGUGAAUUGUCCAGGGCUUCUCAAAGGGCAGCUCAUCUGCACCAAAGCUUCUGUUAAGGGUUUCAGAUGAUUGAUCAAUUCAUUGAUUCGUCGGAUUGUGUUCCACAAUGUUGUAAGCUGAUCUGAAGCAGGGGAAAUUUUGAUCCUUUUUUCUGCAGAGAUUCUGCUGUCGUUUCGUUCAGAAUGCUUCCUUUUGAGAUGUCGUUUUUGUCAUUUGAAACUUCUGCUAACUUUUUGAUUUGGAAAUGUCCCAGGUUGAAAGUUUGAUACGGAUUAACAAAUAUGAAACUACAUUUUCGACUGACUGUCUAUUGUCUCGUCUAGUAGGUGUGAGAACUUGGUCGAUGAUCGUAGCCGAAAUAAACCCAACCAUCAUCAUGUCCGAAUCCGAUCCUAUUUGAAUAGAGCUUUGAACGAAUCUAGUUUGAUUAACUGAAAUGAAAUUGAUGUAAAUAAAAUAACAUUAUAUGUGUGUGAACAUUUUAAUUAUGAGCUUAGACAUCUAAUGCUUCCGAUAAACCGAUCGUCUGAGGGUUGACCAUUUUACUCGUGACUCGGCCCAAAGAGAGUUCUCAGUUCUCAACCUCGUUCGCUUAAGGCAAUCCACUAUGCCCUAACACACGUGACACCAUCCCAGCUUGAUGGUCGAGAUCAAUCAACCGUUCAAACGAGUCCACGUAGAGGAACAUUCCUUUCAAUACGUUUCUUUCUCCUAUAUUUUCUACAUUCCCUCUCUUACCUUAUUCUUUUGAACUUACUAUCAUACACCAUAUGAUUGCAAAUGAUUAUAAUCGUCCCAUUUGUUCGAUCCUUCAAAGAUCCUCGAUUGGAAAAUGCGGUACAAAAUUGCAUUGGGAACAGCAAGAGGUUUAAUUUAUAUACACGAAAAGUGCAGAGAAUGUAUAAUCCAUUGUGACAUAAAGCCGGACAAUGUGCUAUUGGAUUCCGAGUUUCGACCCAAAGUCGCAGACUUUGGCCUGGCAAAGCUCUUUGGGAGAGAUUUUAGUCGGGUGCUAACCACCUUGAGGGGAACUAUCGGGUACAUGCCGCCCGAAUGGCUUUCGGGGGAGGCGAUUACGGCGAAAGCUGUUGGAGCUACGGGAUGGUGCUGUUGGACCUAGUAUCCGGAAUGAGAAACUCGCAACGACAUGUAUGUAUCGGUCACUACUUUCCUGUUUGGGUAGCGAAUGUGAUAAACGAAGGUGGGGAUUUGGCUGAGGUGCUGGAUCCAAGGUUACAAGGGAAUGCUGAUGGUGAAGAGUUGGAAAGAGUCUGUAGAGUUGCUGUUUGGUGCAUUCAGGACGACGAAAGUAAUCGCCCGACUAUGAGUCAGGUAGUUUACAUUCUUGAACAGGUAUUGGGAGUGGAUAUUCCUCCUGUUCCGAGUAUUCUUCUGAGAUAUGUUGAUCCUGACAGAUAGCAACAUUCUCUUCAGACUCGGUCAUUUACAGUCAGAUUAUACGAGGAUCCCUAACGAUAUAAGUCGGCCAUAUUAAGAGAAUGUAGUAAAGAAUGCAAGUACUGCUUGACAUGUAACUAUAAAGAACAGUAACAUCCCAAGGAGGCACCAUUUACUUUUCUCCCGCAAAGAAUAUCAUGAAUUUGAGACUCAAACGGAACUCACAAGAUUCUGGUCCGUUUGGUUAACAGAUAAUCACAAACACAAGCAUACAAAACUGAAGAAACCAAUGAGGUAUAUGUUCUUGAGCAGACAGAUCCUAUUGAGAUACACGAAAACAAAACACAACCAAGCAAAAAUAAUGCCAUAUAAAUACACCAAAAGAACAUACACUUAUAGCAGAAACAAACUAGGCUGUGUAAAGGAAAUCAAAUGGCCAGCUUCUUCUUCAUGAAGACCAUACAUUCCCUGUUGAUUCUAUCUUUUAUUCUGCUCUUCAUUUCCUCAGCUGAAAGCAGCAUGCACAAAGGUAAAUCAUAACCCACCAAAUGACCAAAAUGCUUUGUUUACAUGAAUUAUGGUGCUGUCCACUCGGACACAUUUGUUGGGUGUUAUUCGGUGUUUCUCACCUGCAAAAAGCUAGCUCAAGAGGGGUCUAUUUGGUUUUCGGAAGUUGUUGUCAGUAUGGACCGAUCAGAUACCAUUGUUGGGUGUUGUUGAGCCUUUUUAGUUUUACUCUCAAAACAAUAUCUCCUUCACACAUAAGUCUCUCGAUAGACGUUACCCAUCUACUUAAUGACAUUUGACCGAAUCUCUGAAGUAAUGAUACCACUACUCAAUAGCAGAAUCAGGAAGGUCUUAGAUCCUGAGCAGAAUUUCAAAUUUAGGAGUUUAACUCAUAUAACUCUACAGAAAAUUUGAUUUCGAGAAUUUUACGUAGAAUUUUACCUUGUGUGGUGGCAUAGGUUGACCCACUUCCAUAUAAGCCAUUGCCACUAUUGCUUGUUAUUAGCUCAUUCACCCAAAUGAAUUAUCGAGUGUUUCAUUACGCAUAUAAAGUGCACUCAAUCUUCUUCUAAUGCGCUCAGGCGGCUGUAAAAUCAAAUGUGUUCGAGCUGUGGCGGUGGAGGCAGGGGAUACAUGUUUCAGCAUUGCUAGAUCGAACGCAAAGAGUCUGAACUUGUUCAAAGCUCUCAACCCGAAUCUUCCUUGCAAACGCCUCUUCGUUGGAGAAUGGGUUUGCGGCCAAGGCACUGCCUGUUGAUGAUCAAUGAACCCGUGGACCAUGCGGACUUGGAGUUAUGCGUGCAUACUGGUGUAUUGGUUUGUUUAUAACCACGUCGUUGGGGAUGUUGCAUCAUGUUGAAGCAAACAUAGAGAGUAUGUUGAUGAAUAAUGAAAUAAAAUUGAUGGCUUAGCUCCAACUUAAUCCAUUUUUCUUGCAUAGAUCCAAGUCCAGGACUCAUAGUUCAUUUACUGGGGUAUUUUAUGAAUAAACCUUGCUGAUUAGAUCACCCAAACACCACGUAUGUACAUGAGCAAAAACAUAUGGAAGAUUGACGAUAAAAGCAGCACAACUGUGUUGAUAUAUGUACAGAAAUGAAGUACAACUGAAGAAAGAAAGGAUAUGAAUCACCCAGUAUAUGUUUAAGUUGAACAUAACAGGCCAGCAACUAAAACACAAUCAAAGAUGAAAAGAAGGAGAGCAUGCAAUAUCAUGAAUUUUAGACUUCAACGGGAUCUCACAAGAUUCUGGUCUUGAAGAUCUACUACAGAACGGACCUGCACAAGAUUCUGGUCUUGUAGAUUAGUCCUCGGCGACUCUUGUAACAAGGCGAGCCUCGCUUUGAUACUCGCACGCACAUCAUCUAUAUGCUUCCUGGCGCGUUGCUGGAAACCAUACCUUGGGGGUUAAUUUUUUUGGUGCUCCUUCAGUGUCCUGACUGUACACAUAUUCAAAGGGCUGCAAAUUCGAAGAUGGGACUUUAUUAUGUUAAGAAUUGGAAUGAAUACAAAACUCGAAUUUAUAUAAGAUCUUCCCCUUUGUAGACGUACUGAGCUUUCUGGCACCAAGAACUCCUCCAGAUUUCUUCCCUCUUCCCGGCUUGUUGAUGGUACCAGUGCUUGUAACUAGAGAAGAAUGGAGAGUGGAGUUGUUGUGGAUGUUGUAAUCGGCCAAUGUCCUUCCACCCUCCAGCUGAUUGCCAGCGAAUAUCAUCCUGAUCUGCCGGUCAGAGGGGAUUAUUGCUUACGUUUCAUCAUCGUCACUUUGUCGCAAUAGAGAUCAAUUGAGCAGAUGCUAAUCAUUUGUCGCAAUAGAGAUCUUUUCUUGUUUCAAUCUCAAAUUCCCAUGCAUAGAAGGAACUACCUUGGUUUUUCGUCCUUUCGGUUUUGGAGUUUUCGGUCAGUUGUAUGCAGAUUCGGUUAGUUUCUCCCGGCAGGUUGAGCACUUGUUUGGGGCUCUUCCUUUGUCUAUAGUACAAAGCUCUCUAACUAUAAUAACAAUAACUAUAGUGAAUUGUAUCGACAUAUAAAUUACAAACUAGAAUCUAAUUUACAUGCUUGCUCGGAAUAGUUAACUUAACACGUUCUUGAACCACUAAUACAAAAUUCAAAAAGGUAAACGGUACAAUUCCGAUUUAAAUGAAGUUUAAGUAUAAUUUAUAAUCAUUUAUGUAGUUGAACCGCCUAUUAAUAAGUUUAAUAAUUCAAUAUCACGAUGCGGUUUUAAUAACCAUGACAAAUAUAUCCACGCAAGCAACCACACACAAACAUACAAAAUCUAAGAGACCAACAAGGAUUGAAGACUUGUAAGUGGCAUUGUAAUCCGGACAAGUUAUAAUUAUGCAUAUAAAUACACACAACAAGUCCUUAAGAACAGCACACAUCUUAGAAUUAACAACAUCUAAUUAGUAAUUAGAAAAAACCUCCCUAAAUUACACCUUGGUUCAUCAAAUGGCUACCAAAUUCCCCAUGAAGAUCAACUCCCUCCUGGUUAUCUCCUUCAUCGUCAUGGUGCUGAUCAUGAUAUCCAUAACUGAAAGCACCGGCAGGCAUCUUCUAACCCCAGGUAUAUAUAUCGAUUCGAACUCCGGAAAUGUUACGUUAUUGUAAGUUUGUAACUCAUUAUGAAGUUUAGUAUAUAGUGAUUCGUUGUCCUUUCUUAAUGUCGUUGCAGGUUGUGAAGUAACAUGUACCAAUUGGGUGGCAGUGAAACUAGGAGAAACCUGUUCUAUAAUUUCUGAAGCCAACUCCAUGACCUUGAACAAGUUCCUAACUCUCAACCCGAAUCUGGUUUGUAAAAAUAUGUUCGCUGACGAAUGGGUUUGCAUCGAAGGCACUGGCUGUUAACCAACCAUGACGAACAACAAAAACAUUUCAUAUCGUUACGAUAUGUUCUACUUUCGAUUUCUCUUUUUUUUUGCUUUGUUGUAGCAAACAUCAAUGAUUUGACAUAAUCAUUGUAUAUCAAAGAAAUAACGUUUUGCCAUCCUUUUCUCCGGAACGAUGUCGUUUCAUCGAUGCUUUGUCGAAUCGGGCUUACUAAGCGCAAUGUAUCUAACCCAGAGAGAGACGCUCCAUGUGGGACCCAAUACAAGUCAAUAAAGUGGAGCCCUCCUUUCAAACCGUUUUUCAAAAAUCAAAUCGGAGCGUCACUCGCGAUCCGCUAACUCAGCUCAACGGUCACGAUUUCGCCUUCAUCAAGCGCCUCUCAACGGUCGAAAAAUCUUCCCAAUCAAAAUCCUCCAAUCCUUUCAGAAAGAUUGAUCGAAAUCAGAUCUCUUUCUUCUUCUUCUUCCUCUGUUCUGAAACUUCAAGAAAUAAGAAAUCGAUUCUUAGGAAAGAUGAGUGUGUUACAGUACCAAGAAGAAGAAGACGCGGAGAUGCAGAUAUGGAACAACGCAGCAUUCGAGGAUUCCAUGGCGGGGAAGGGCUCUUCGUGGUGGUCUCAGUCCAUCGAGUCGAAUUGUUCACGCAAAGAGAACUUGAACCCGGAUGCGAUUUCGGCCACUCCGUUCAAGGGUGGCAAGACAGUCAAUCCACUGAAGCAGAAACAGUUGAUUUUGUCUAGUAAGAGCUUGAUUCGUGAUGAGAAGGUGAUAGAUAUGGAAAUUGAAGAGGUUGAGAGCGAGAUUCGGGGAUUAUCGUUGAGGCUUGAAUCCCUGCGGCUGGAGAAGGCGGAGAAGCAUCUCGCGGAAAGAAGGGCCAGGAUCGUGCCGGCGAAGUUCAUGGAGCAGAAACAGAGUGUCAAGUUCGACGAGCCAAGAUUUGGUAGGAGAGGUGUUAGUUUGGGGCCGGCGGAGAUUACGUCGAGAGCGAGGAUGAUGACGAUGACAGCGACCACCCCUGUUUCUUCCACUUCGAAUCGGAGGAAGUCCUGCUUCUGGAAGCUAGACGAGAUAGACGAGCUGAAGGUGACGAAGGAGAGAGCUAAAAGCCAGAGCGUCAGUCCGAGAUCUCGGAGAACGGCAACGAAACUGCAGCCGCCGCCGAAGCAUGCUCAGACAACGGUGGGGUCAAAACGGCCGGUGAAGAAGGACGACGGAGUUCUGUCUCUGAUUCAGCCCAAGACUCUGUUUCGAGACGGAGGCGAGAAGUCGGUCAAGAAAGCGGGGCGGAUCGUGGCGAGUAGGUACAACCAAACGUCAACGACGAGUCAACGUCAGUCAACGGAGGCGAGGAAGAGGUCCCUGCCGGAGAGCGACAAGGAAGACGGGAACAAACGGCGGGCUUCUCGAGGUAACGGGUUGAAUCAGAAAACAGAGAGCGUCGUCAAACCGAAGAAGAAGUGGGAGAUUCCGGGUAAAGUGUGGGUGUUCAAAGGCAAAGAAGAAGACGAUGCUGAGGAAUCAGAGGAACUUGUUACCACUGGAUUGCGGAAGAUCAGGACGAUUCGGCCUUGUUCGACGGCGGCGACGCCUAGAAACUCAGGUGCGGCGAAAAGGGUUGCGGAUUUAGUCGGUAAAAAAUCGUUUUUCGCCAUUGAUGAGGGUGAUGUCGCUGAAGCAGAGAGGUCUGUUUGCUUGGCAUUGAGUUUUGAAGAUUAAUAGGAUUGCUUCGUUCCCCUGGUUUUAGUGAUUUGGUUUGGUGGCAGAGAACCGCCAUAAUUUUUGUUAUGGUGGAAUAGCUAAAGUUUUCUCCAUUUCCUUUUGGAUUGUGUUCUUGUUUGGUGUUUAGUUGCAAUAAUGAGAAUCAAAGCUCGUAAAUUACAACUUGGAUAUCAGUUUAUGAUCAUGAGAACCUGAUGCUUGAUAAUCUAUUAGCUAUCAGGAUCAGCAAAUCUCUGAAGAAUCCUUGGCACAGGAGGAUUUCUUAGGUGUGAAUGGUUGUACAGUUUUAUCAAAGCUCCAUUGAUAUUGAUCCUUAAACCCUAAACAGCAAAAUUCAUCCGUAUGAAAGCGCCAAUUUUGGUAGAAAAGGGUUUCUCCUGUGUAAACUGCCAAAAUAAGAACAUUGAAUCUUUUACUAAUAUGGUUACAGAACGUGACCAAUUAAAUUACAACCGUUGAUUAGUACCCUCCACGAGUUUAUUAAUGGUCUGUUUGGCAGGGAGAAUGUGAAAUGAAAUUUGGAUGGAAAUGGAAAAGUUAGCUUAUAAAAUGCAUUUUUUCCGCUUAAAAAAAAUAGUGCUCAAAAUUUCAUUUCACAUCCAACUACCAAACGAAUCAUUAAUCAAAAUUUUAAUUUCUUCAAUUUAACUAGCAGUAAAUUUUCCUAAAUAAUUUUAGGAAAGGAAUCCCUAUAAUGUAGUCUUGAAUUAACCCCACAUCCCUUUUUACCACGGCAUUAUCGGACGGCCGAGAUCUUGCAGCCUGACUGUACAGCUGGCAAGAUUUUUGCCUUUGGAAGGUUAAUUUGCUGGCUUAUUAUCCACUGUGGUCAUCAACCUAUUGAGUUUUUACAAUGUCAUCAUUAACCUCUAAAAAGUAACAUACAUUUCACUAGCUUAUUUCAACCGUAACACGUAAUUUCAUCAAUUGUCCUUUGCUAUAUUGCGUGAAGCUAACAUAUUCUAGAUUGUGUCCUAUUCACUAUGAUAUGGUAUGCUAAAUGAAACUCAUUUAACCAAUUUAAUUGAAACAUGUUAGGUACUUAGGUCUAUAAUAGAUUUUUAUUUUAUUUUGAUAGGUGGAGACAUCCACAUAGUAAACAACAAACCCAAAUCAUCCACCCGUUGACUUAGGAGUAUCAACAACACUUAUGGGUAUAUUGAAGAGUCAUACCACAAAAUGAACGGCUCAUCUACCUAGUAAAAGUAUGAUCAUCUAAAACUGAAACAUAGUUGUGGAGGUGAGCGCAUCUUAAAUCCUAACGAUCUUGUUGACAACUGUUACAUCAUACAAUACAAUUGAGAAGGGAUAGACGCAAGGUGGCCAAGGCAUACCACAAAAUAGACAACUCGAUUAUUUAACUAAAGGAUGGUCUAAAACUGAAACAUAAUUGUAGAGGUGGUUGUUUUUUAUCCUAAAGAUUUUGCCGGCCGUAAUUCCAUCAUAGAAUACAAUUGAGGGGUGGUAAGCGCACGGUGGCCGCAACAUGGAGUUGAGUCCAAGCAUGAACAAAGAUUAUAAUAGAAUAGUUGACAACUAACGUAUGAGAGAGUGACAUGGACAUAUUAUAGUGAUUUGACAUGAUAAUUUAUCAACUUAACAUAUCUUUGGGAAGGAAACUUGAAGAAAGAACCUCGUUGAUGAUCAGAUUGUUACAAACCCAACAGGUUGGUGACUACAAUGGAUAUUAAUCCUCGAAAUGUUUGCUUAAGCCUCAAUCCAACCGUCCAAAUUUUUUGUCAACAUUGACCAGCAUUAAUUAAAUAAAUAAAUAAUAUUUUUUUCUCCUUUUCACUUUCUGCCUCCCUAUUUCUAGGAAGCAAAGAGAAAGAAAACCCUCCAAAAACAGAGGAGCAAGGUUUUAGUAGGGUUUAAGCACAACAAUGAAAGGUUUCCGUACGUUCCAGGCUGCCGCCUCCAACGCUUUCCGCGACCACCCCAGAUUCUCCAAGCUCCUCGUCGUCGUCAGCGUCAGGUAACCCUUCCAGACUCAAAGAUCCCAGAUGGCCAGAUCUCUGUUUGUUCUACUACAAUGCCUUUUCCGUACGGAUUUUCAUGCGUCUGUGUUUUCUCUUUGGCAGCGGAGGAGGGUUGUUGGCGUUUUCAGAUGCGUCACCGUUCCGGCGGAUCUCUGACGAGGCAGACGGCGGACCUAAAAAGAAGCUGGUGGUGCUAGGAACCGGAUGGGGUGGUACCACUUUCCUCAAGAACCUGAAAACUUCUGCUUACGAUGUGCAAGUUGUCUCGCCUCAUAACUACUUCACGUUCACUCCUCUGCUUCCCAGCGUCACCAAUGGCACCGUCGAGGCUCGGAGCAUUGUCGAACCGAUACGAAACAUCGUCCAUGGUGUAAGUUCCUUUGUUCAGAUAUAUUGUUUCGUUCAAAUUUCCAUAGUCCGAUUUGAAAUUCAGCUGGAUUAUGCCCAAUAGAUUUAGUAUCGAUCGGAUCCGUAUGAAAAUUCUUGUACAUUCUGGGUUUAGUAGAUCUAAUUUUUCAGUUGUCUCAGAUUUGAAUAAGGGUAUGGCGGAAUUUUGAUUUUCAAAUUGAUUGCUCGGUGGUAUGUUGUUGGCAGAAACCAUACAAUGUCAAUUUUGAGGAAGCCGAGUGCUACAAGAUCGAUCCGGUGAACAAGAAGGUGUACUGCCGAUCGAACAAGGCUCAGAACGAUUUUGAAUUGGAUUAUGAUGUGUUGGUGAUAGCAAUGGGAGCUCGUGUGAACACCUUCAACACUCCUGGCGUUGAAGAACACGCUCAUUUCCUCAAGGUAUAUAUAUAUAGAACAAAUCAAAAUCCUCUCGGAAUGAAAAUUCCCGAAAUUGAAUCUAGGUUGAACCAAUGAAUUGCAGGAAGUUGACGAUGCUCAGAAGCUCAGGAGAUCUAUAAUCGACUGCUAUGAGCGAGCUAGCCUUCAUACAGUUAGCGAGGAAGACAAGAAGCGGAUCAUGCACUUUGUAGUCGUCGGUGGAGGUCCCACCGGAGUGGAGUAUGCUGCUGAGCUUCACGAUUUCGCUUCUCAGGAUUUGGCUCGAUUGUAUCCGUCUCUGAAGGAAUAUCUCAAGAUCACAUUGCUCGAAGCCGGAAACCACAUUCUGCCCAUGUACGAAAAAAUCUUGUUUUGUCGCUUUUUUCGUGUUUUGUUGACCGGUUUCUGAGUUGUGUUUUGGGUUUUUUUCUCCAGGUUUCACAAGAAAGUUACUGACUUUGCCAACGAGAAGUUCCAGAAGGAUCAGAUCGAGGUGAAGACCGGAUCGAUGGUGGUGAAAGUUUCGGACAAGGAUAUCUCCGCAAAGGAUCGAACCACAGGCCAAGUCGAGUCGAUUCCUUACGGUGUGGUUCUGUGGUCAACCGGAAUUGCUACUCGUCCUGUCAUAACCGAGUUGAUGCAGCAGAUCGGUCAGGCUGGGAAGCGGGUUAUGGCUACCGACGAAUGGCUGAAAGUUCAAGGAUGCGAGGAUGUUUAUGCUCUUGGAGAUUGUGCCUCCAUAGCUCAACGGAAAGUCUCCGAUGAUGUGCCUGCCAUAUUCAACACAGUGGACAAGAACUCGGCCGGUAGUCUAGACGCCAAGGAUUUCAAGGAGUUUGUCAACGACAUCUGUGAGAGGUACCCGCAGGUGAGGAAGUAUAUGGAGAAGAACAAACUAAAAAAUUUCGAUGCUUUGCUGAAGAAUGCUACUCAGAACCUCGACAAGAAAGUAGUUGAUAUCGAGGCGCUUAAGAAGGCUCUGUCGGAAGCUGAUUCUCAAGUGUCGAUGCUCCCCCCAACCGCUCAGGUUCUUGAUCUUUUUUCAACCACCUGCAAACUCGUUCCAAUAAAUUUAGUGUUUACUCGAUUAUGAUACUACGUUUUGAUUUUGAUUUUUUGACCAGGUUGCUGCUCAACAAGGUGAAUAUCUAGCAGAUUGUUUCAACAGGGCUAAACGUUGCGAAAAGAAUCCUGAAGGUCCUGUCAGGUUUCAGGAAAAUGGCCGAUAUGCCCUCCAUCCUUUCAGGUACAUGAUUUUUCCUUAUCUAUAUGCUUUCCAUUGAGUAACGGUCUAACCGAAACAUCUCCGGUUCAUAGUUACAAACAUUCUGGACAAUUUGCUCCACUGGGAGGGGAGAAAGCUGCUGUUCAGUUCCCCGGAGACUGGGUUUCCAUUGGCCAUGCAAGUCAAGGUCUCUGGUACACAGUCUAUGCAAGGUAAAAAAGAAAACUACGAUCCCUAAAAAUCGUUGCAUUUCUAUCUCCAUCGUGAUGAUCCAUCUUUUUUACGCCUCUGUUUUGAAUAUAUUCCAGCAAGCUUGUGACCUGGCGCACGAAGGUCCUGGUCGUGUCCGACUGGUUCAGGAGGUUCACAUUCGGUCGGGAUUCAAGUGCUCUUUGAGUUUACACAGCAGCAUUAUAAUGGAUAGGCUAAUGGAUUUGUUGCUCGACAAGUUUUGUCCUUUAAAGCCCUUAGCAGAAGUUUCUUCUGGUUUUGGCUAAGUUUUGAUGGUUUUUCUUUUAUCUGUUUGUCAUUGUGACUUGUGAUGAACAAAGAACAUGAGCCAUAUUGGCUGUGGUUGGAUGCAGUUUUGGGUUUCAUAAAUCAAUUACAACUUACGACGAAAAGAAUACGAAUUAUACCUCAUACAGUAUUUACUAGGAGGUGCAUCAAGCAUCAAAUACGGCUGGAGUCUCUACCGAAAAUGUAUCUUCGAGUCCAGUCGGAUACGACCAAGUAUCGUGUACGCCAGCUGACUUGCUUGCUGAAACAUCAUAAUAUCCAGAAUGAUGUCAGUCAUGGAUAUAACUGAGCUGAGAAACUAUUCUGAGACACAGUAGUUACCUGGCGUAGACCGAAUACCAGAGCCACUGAGUACUGUGACCCAUGGAAACCCAGUCACCAGGAAGUUCAGCAGCGGCUUGCUCUCCUCCCAAAGGCGCAAACUGCCCUAAAUGCUUGUACCUUGCAUUCAAAAGGAUCCCAGCAGAUUCAUGUUUUAGUACAUUUCGCCCGCGCCAUACUGGUCGAUAGUACCAGUUUACUGAAAGACCAAACUAGUAUGAUUAAUACCGGAAGGGAGCAAAGAAAUGACGGCCUCCAGCACGUGCAAACCGACGAGGACCUUCAGGAUGCUCCUUGCACUGGUCUUUCCUGUUGAAGCAUCUCGCGAGGUAUUUGCCUUGUUGUGCAGCAACCUGGAUGUAGAACUCUCAUUGAGCAUGGACAUUGACACAAAUGCAAGUAGAUAGGAGUAGUACCUGUGCAGUUGCAGGUAGACUAGUGGUCUGUGAAUCAACUAGACGGAUGGCCUUCUUGAAACCUUCAAUGUCGAUUUCUUUCUUGUCAUCGGUCAGUGCAUCUUUCAACAGAUCCGUCACUGCUCCCAGAUGCUGGUUGUUCAAAUACGUCUCCACUUGAGGAUACCUCGCCACGAUAUCACCCACCACAGCCUUGAAUUCCUCCAUGGUCAACGUUCCCGACUUAUCCGCAUCAGCCGCCUCGAAUAUCUCCGCAAUGUCAUCCUGAAACACACCACGAAAAAAUGUUACAGUUACCUAUGCCACUUAAGGUGGUAACCUGAUGAACAAGAUUAAUGCAUACCAUGAUUUUACGUUGAUCAAUUGUGGCACAAUCACCAAGUGCAUAGAUGUUUUCGGUUUCUUUCACUCGCAGCCACUCGUUAGUUGCGAGAAUACGCCUAUUACCCUGGCCGAUUUGGUCCAUGAAGUCCUGCACAACUGGCCGAGUGCUUAUACCGGUAGACCAAAGAACCAAUCCAUGAGGUAUGGAACAGACUUCUCCUGUAGGCUUCAUCUUCAUAGAAAUUUCUUUCUCAGAAACACUCACAACUCGACAUCCCGUCUGGACUUCGAUUCCGUCCCUCCCGAACUUCUGUUCAGCGAACGAACUUAUGCGUUCGUCAAACCUGCACAAAAUUCAAUGACAUGAUCUACAGUACACGAAACGGAACACUGAGAAUCUGACAAAGAUCCGCCUAGCUUCUCACGUGUUCAAAAUAUGAUCUCCGGAUUGGACCAGACUGAUCUUGACUAGAUCCUUCACGGUCGGAUAGAUGUUGACCAAGUCUUCAAUGAGAAAGUCAUGCAGCUCAGCAGCAAACUCGACACCGGUCGGACCGCCACCAACAAUCACGAAAUGAAGGUUCGUUCUUCGCUCUUCUUCGGUUAGAUCAGGAAGGACGGCCUUUUCGAAGCAAUCGAUCACCGUCCUUCGAAGCCUCUGAGCAUCCUCUAAAUCCUGGAAUGUCAAGUUCAAUCCCUUUUGCUCAUAAACAUAACGUUGAUACAUCUAUAAACCAUUUGUAGUGAAUUAUACCUUCAGAAAAUGGCAGUUCUCGUUGACACCGGGCGUGUUGAAAGUGUUGACUUGAGCUCCAACUGCAAUCACCAAGUAGUCAUACUCCAGAGAGAACUCCUCUUUCCCCACGGAUUUGUUGUCAAAGCUAGCUUUACAGAAUAUCCUGUUCUUCUCGGAAUCUAUCUUAACACAAUCCGCCUCCAAGAACUGAAUCUCUCCAUUUCUCUGCCAAUCAAUAACGAAUCUUUUGUCACAAAUCCAACACACACAACAGCACUAAGUAUGCAUAUCUACCAUUUUUCCAUCUUACCUUCCUAAUCAUAUUUCUAAUAGGCUCGACAAUGCUUCUGGCCUCAACCGUUCCACAAGUGACACUAGGGAGCAAAGGAGUGAAAGCAAAGUAAUUUCUCGGCGACACGACCUGAACAUCGUACAUAGAAGCGUCCAGAUCCUUGACGAAGCUUGUUCCGGCCCAUCCUGUCCCAAGAACCACAACUCUCUUCUUCUUGCCGUCAUUUUUGUUGACAAUGGAAGCAGGCACUUCAGUUUCCACUUGUGAGUCUGAGUAUGCCACCAGACCUCCACUACUGUUUCACAAAAGGAGAUUCAAGUAGCAACCAUAUUAUAAAACAGUUCAUAACGUCAUAUAGAGUCUACAUACACAGUGGUACUCAUAGGAAAAUUAGCCUAACCUAGUACAUUCUAGAUUAGAUUUGUUUCAGUUGAAUUCUCUACUGCUUUACAACUGAAGUCAAAAUCAACGGAGGACAAUUUCAGACAUUGAGCAAAUAGCAACCAUAUGAAACAGUUCAUAUACAGUCUGCACAAACAGUGGUAUAUAUAGGUGGAUCUUAACAACUUGACAAAUUAGCUUAACUUAGUACAUUCUAAAUUAGAUAGAGCUACCAAGAAACAGGACACCUUGUGGAUUUCUUUCAAUUGAAUGCUCUACUGCUUUUACAACUAAAGUCAAAAGUCAACGGAAAUUUCAGACGCCGAGCAAGACAAACUUAUAUCAAAAGCAAAUCACUGUACAAGAUCAAUGCUUUCUUCACUGUUCCCAGCAGUUGGAGGAAGCGGGUGGAAAUGGAAUCUAGAAAGGAUCUAGCUUUUGUGUUCUAAAAGGCUCACAAACCCACCAUUUCCCCCAAAAUGGGAUUUGAACAACAUGAAAAGGGUUUAACCAUAAAAACAGUGUGUAAAGAGAGUCAAAAGCUGACCAAGACCACUGGAAAGGAAAAACCCAGAUCGAAUCAAAGCAGGAGAUUGGAAGUUAACCUUAUGGUGAAUAGGGCAAGGAACUUGGAAGUUGAAGCAGGGAAGCUGCGAGUUGCUCUGCUGAAGAACGACAUGAUUCAAAUCGUUUCCAGAAGGAUUUGUUCUUGUUUUUUUGCCGUUUCUGGUUUCUAGCAGAGGAAGACCUCAAGGGGUGGGGAUUAGGAAUGGUGGUCCUCUUGGUGUGAAUUGCAAACUGUGGGGAAAUUGCCAGUCCAGUCCAGUCCAGUACAGAGAGCUGAGAGUCGUUAUCCAUCAGCUGGAGGAUGAGAGGGAAAGGACACGUGGCCAGAUCUGGUGUGGCUGUCAUCCUUGCUUUGUGGAGGAUUGUUUCCUUUUUUAUAUAUUUGUUGAUGCUUAUCCACCGACGAAUUAAUGUGUAUUUAAUUUGUAAUUAUCACUUAAUUAUCCGGUCUCACUUUCAACUCUCACUCAAUUAUCUAUUUCCAUACUCAUCCAUAUAUCAAUGAGUUUCGAAUGAAUAUUAAUGGAUAUCCCUAUUCUGAUAGAAUUAAAUUAAAAUUUUAAUAAAUAAAACAAUAUAAUUUAAGUUCAAACAAUUUAAAAAACAUAAAUAAUUAUUUUACACUAAAACAAAAUAUAAUACUAUGAGACACGUUCAUUGUACUCAAUCAUAAUACUCAAAAGUUCACAUAGAAGAAUGUAAUUUCAUAGUGCGGGUAGGAACCUAGGAUAUGGAGAUAGGUAUGAGGCAGGAUGUCUAAACCCAUACGAGUGAGUAUUUUCGAUUUAUGGCUCUGCAGCACCUUGCGGCCACAUAAUUAGUUUUGGUUAAGAUUUUUCUAGUUGAAAGCACAUAUAUCCUCAUUAACGUAACUUUAUUUGGUUAUUAUUUGAAGGGUUUAAUAUGGUGAAACUUUAAUUUUUAGUCAUUCCCGACAUGUAUAUCAAAUACUAGCCAAUUUAAAAAUUUAAAAAUUUUAAUGUCAAAAUCGAUCAAUUUAGGUGUGUUAUAUACUAAGGCAAUUAGACCAUUUUCACAAGAAAAAUUUCAAAAUUUUCAAAAUAGUUAAUAUUUGACAAGCAUAUUGGAAAUGACUAAAAUAUCAAGUUUCACCAUGAUAACCCAUGUAAAUAAUGGUAAAAUGAAGUUAAAAAUCAAUUUUACUUGGUGUUAUGUUAGUGUUGAAAAUUUUCAAAUUGGCUUACUUUCUGAUUGUUAAGCCUUCGUUACAUGAAUUUUGAUAACGUCGACCAUACAUAAUUUUGUGAGUACCAAAAUAUUUUACCAUACAUUUCAACACGUAUAUACAGUAAUAAAACAUACGGAUCGAUACGUUCAAUCACCUUCGCAACAUACCAUGGAAGACAAGCAACCUAGUUACUAUUAAAACAUAAGUAACAUUAUUAUUAUUAUUAUUAUUGUUGAUAAUAUUAUUAUCCAACUGCAUGAUAUACCAUUUUAUUGGUCGAUCCCAACAUCGACAUUAGAACUGGAAAAGUAAGACACAGUCGUUUCACCAAGAACAUGCAUGCAUGCAAAGUAGCAAGUCAAACUGGGAAGUACGUAAUAGUAGUAGCAGCAGUAGUAAUAAAAAUAACUAGUUAUUGAAAAUAAGCCGUGACGAUCUAUUGACGUCGACCCUUGACGGCGGAGGUUACGAUUGAUGCAUGAUCAUUUAGAGCAGGUGAGGUUGGAGGGAGCCGCCCUGCCACACUGUGCGAAAGUAAAUGCGACAAGCUGGCUAAGGUCCGGGUCCGUGAGGACUUGAGCAGGGCUAGAUGGAGAGUCUUUUAAGGGCCGUGCAAAUGCAGUCGGCGGCUGCAGUAGCAUCGCUGACUGUAGCAAACACCAUGCAACGUGCACCGGUUAGCGGGGCAAGACCGCAAGCACGUAGAUCCGGGCACGUAGAGGUAGGUGUUGGUGCAGGAUUCGGACUAGUUGCGAGUGUCGUUUUAGGGUUCGGGAUCGAGGUCCGGGCGGAGACCACGGAGAUAAUUUAAUAGGUUUGACAUUAAUAGAUAUUUUUUUUGCGAAAUAAAUGUUUAUGGAAAAUCAAUAUUUUCAUAUCACCACCAAUCAUUUCAUUUGAAUAAUUCACGUGGAUAUAUAGUUUUAAUUUAAUAAUUAACAAUGGAAAAAUUAAAGAAACUAGAAAAUUAAAUAUGGCAAGUGGAAUAUUUUUGAAACAAAUUCAAAAUCAUUGAGGAUGACAAAGUGAGAAAGGGGAAAGUAAAACUGAUAAAGUUAAAGGAUGAUAAAGUAAAGGUGGAAUGGAAAGAUGGGUUGUCGUCCCCUUCGACUUUAGGUUCCUAACUACAUUGAUCACUUAACUUAGGUCGAGUUGUAAUUCUAAUAUUAUUUCGAAUGACAUGAUCAAAUUGAGUUAUAAUUCUAAAUGAUAUUUAAACGGUUUACAAUUAGUGUAGAAGGUACAUUAUAUAAUGCCCAAAAAAGUGGGUGAUUGAAGCAAUGCCACCAGACCACUCUGACCAUAUUCAUUUUCGUUGUAAAUCACUUGUACGAAAAAACUUUUAAAAAAUCAAUGACCGUCUAUGAGGUCAUUUUAUAACUCACAUUCAUCACCAUGUUAUGUAAGAUAUCUUACAACAUCCAAGUGUUCAACUGUACAUAGCACUAUCGUUCAAAAAUGCCAUCUCAUUUUAGCAUCAAAACAAAUAAUUUUCGUGAUCGUGCAAAAAUGUCAUCCUCAUUUUAACAUCAUAUACAUUAUUUUUAAAUGUCACCUGACCACCAUAGUGGUAUUCAUUUUCACGACUCAUAUUCAUCAUCAUGUUAUGUACGAUGUCUUACAACAUCCAAGUGUUCAAUUGUACAUAGCACUAUCGUUAAAAAAUGUCAUCUCAUUUUAGCAUUAGAACAAAUAGAGGCGUGAUCGUGCAGGAACGUCAUCCUCAUUUUAACAUCGGAUACAUUGUUGUUAAAUCUCACCUGACCACUUUGGUGGUACUCAUUUUCACGACUCACAUUCAUCACCAUGUUAUGUCGAUAUCUUAAUAUAUUCAAGUAUCCAGCUGCUAACACUAUCGUUAAAAAAUGUCAUCUCAAUUUAAUAUCGGAACAAAUAGAGACACAUGAUCGUGCAGGAACGUCAUCUCAUUUCAACAUCGGAUACAUUGUUGUUAAAUGUCACAGGACCAAUAUAGUGGUAUUCACUUUGACAACUCACAUUCAUAACCAUUUUAUGUAUAAUAUCUUACUACAUCCAAGUAUCCCGCUGCUAGCACUAUCAUUCGAAAAUGUCAUCUCAUUUUAACAUCAAAACAAAUUGAUGUGUGAUUGUGUAGGAACAUCAUCUCAUCUUAGCAUCAGAUAUAUUCAUCUAUGUUUAGUUAGAGCGAUGAGUGAUCUUGAUUUUGUCCCCUGUGAAAUAGUGUAGUGAUUGCGUUGUAUCGUUGGAGACCCGAAAAUCCCAGAUUCGAAUCCAGCCACACCCCACAUAUAAAUGGACACCUAUAUUAUAUUUGCUUCAUUUCUCUUUUAUAACACAGUUUCGCCUAAUCUAUCUUCUACUAAAAUAGUGAUCUUGAUUUUUCCUACUCCGAAAAGUUACUCGUCGAAACUUGGAUGACUAUAUAUGCUCUUUCGAAUUUCUCUGUUCUAGCAAAGGCUGCACGCACUUGCAUGCCAAAUCUGAUUAAAAAAUUCACGAAAUUAAAGAACACAAUUUCCUAUUGUAAUUCAAAUACAAACUCCUUCUUCUUCAUAGCUGUAAACCAACAUUCUCUGCCUCAUUAAUUCACCCAUUAACCAUCCAAUGAUUCUCUCUGAAACGAUUCCGAUUCACUCGCCUCCAUUGAUUUAGCUUUUUAAUCCUUCAAUGGGUUGUCUUCCUUGCAAUGCUGACUCCGCCGUCGCAAUCUGCGGCGACGGUCGAUCUCACCAUAACAAACCCACAUCAACCACCACCAAGCACUUCACUUACUCCGAAUUAGUCGCCGCCACCGGUGACUUCUCCGCCGACAACUUCCUCGGAAAGGGUAGCCACGGAGCUGUUUACAAAGCCACCCUCGACGGCGGUAAGCUGAUCGCCGCCGUCAAACGGAACAGCCAUCCAGCGAUAUGGUCCCCCUCACAUUGUUACCCAACCCCCCCCUCCAGGGGAAAAGCUGGUCCCCCCCCGCAAACCGGACCAGCCACCACCAACCUCCGACCAAUUUCAGAACGGCGCCGUCGCCGGCGGAGAACGAGAUUGAGAUCCUGUCGAAAGUCCGACACCCGAGGUUGGUCAACCUCAUCGGCUUCUGCGCCGAGCGGAGAUUAAUCGUGGUUGAGUACAUGCCCAAUGGUUCGCUCUACGACGUGCUGCAUUCCGGUUCGGUUAGUCUUCCUGGUUGGACCAGGCGGGUACGGUUCGCUCACCAGGUAGCUAAAGCUGUUGAGGCGCUCCAUGGAUCCGACCCGCCGGUGAUCCACCGCGAUAUCAAAUCGUCGAACGUCCUCAUCGAUGGAACGUCCAAUGCUCGCCUGGGGGAUUUUGGUUUGGCGUUGAGGGGACACGUAGAGGACGUACGGGUCAAGUGUACACCGCCGGCGGGUACACUUGGGUAUCUCGACCCGGGUUAUCUUGCGCCGGGAGAUCUGAGCUCCAAGAGCGACGUGUUCAGCUUCGGAAUCUUGCUUCUGGAGAUAAUCAGCGGUCGGAAAGCGAUCGAUGUGAAUUUCAGUCCGCCGUCUGUUGUCGAUUGGGCGGUUCCGUUGAUCAAGUGGUUGGAGGUCGAUUCAGUCUGCGAUGCUCGGAUCGGUUCCCCGGUGGACGGUAGCGUUAUUCGGAGCAUGGCGGUUUUGGCGGCGAGGUGCGUGCAGUCGCCGGCAGAGAAGCGGCCGGGGAUGUCGGAGGUUGUGGAGGGGCUGAAGGCGGUGAGGAAGAGAAUGGAGGCGCCGGCGAUUCUGAUGCGGCUGUGUAGGAGUCUCCGUCGGAUCCGUCAGAAAGUGAGGAGGCCGUUGUGGUCGCCGGGAUGAGGCGGAGGGUGAUGAGUAGGAGAAACAGGAAAGUGUCGAAUGCUUCAAUUGCAAACCAUGGUAGCAAUUGGAACAGGGAAUUAGAAAUUGGGGCGGCGGAGCAUUACAGAUUGAAUAAUAAUUCCGGCGAUGGUGAAUCCGGAGAGCAUACUAACUCUAAUAGUAAUGGAGUAGGAAUUCAAAUAGAAGUAAUACAGCUGAGCAAGUCCAUGUCCACCGGAGUAGACGGCGGACUUCUUUCCGGAGCAAUAGCCACGGCUGCGGAAGAAGAGGAUAUACUACCGGGGCGAGAUCGACGGUGAGAUGUUUAAAUUAAGGAUUGGUUCCGAUGUGAAAUCCGAGAAAGAGAUGCAGGAUCUCCAGCUAGGAUUUUCAUUUCCCUCCAUUUUCAAAAUUUUGUAAGGAAUUUUCUACACUUCUUAUUGAAGUGGUUGUUCAGUUUGAACACAAAAACCGGUCCAAGUGUGUAGAACUCAAAUAAAUUAGAGAUUAGUAAGUUGAUAUAGGAAUACUCUGAAUAUUUGUUUAUGUCUGGGUACAUAAUGAUGUUAGUGAUAACUGGUACCAGUCGAACAUUCGAUAUACAAAAUAUUAAUUGCUUCGCGAUUCGGUAGUAUCGAUAUUGGCGUUCGAAUAUGUUGCUGUUGUGCAAGACAACACAAUCGAAACGACUAACGGCAUGCAAGUAUGUUACAAACAAUCUAAAGCUGGAUAAGUUAAGCAUUUGACUUGUGAACUACAAAAGUAACAAAUACAAUGGAUAUUACAUGACCAAAACCAAAAUUACAGAGCUACUGCUUGAUCCAAUAUUCCUUUACUGAUCUUUACUCUAAAUCCGUCACAGAACCAGCAGCAAACAAAUUCAAACAAGCAUUCACUGGUGAGCAUUCAUUCACCUCCAUGGCCUUUGCUAUGGAAUUCUCGACAGGGCUGCAGCCAGAAAAGACAAUUCACAGGCUAAAGAAAAGUUAGUGCAGAAAUGGCAAAUGAUCAAACAGCCAAUUUAGUACUGUUAUUUAACUCCUAUCUCGCCGUGAUAAAAAAGAGAUGAAGCUGAUGACAACACGAUGAUUUACGAGCUUUUUCAGACUCUUCGAAGCAAUGGAAAUUAGCUGCAGAGUAUAGUUAAAACUCAAUGAGAUGAAAACAAUUGAGCAGGUUCUCCCUGUAGACAGGGUCUCAGCUCCACUAAACUAUUAUAACCAAACAAAAUGAAGAUCCUUUGAAAUUUCAUCUGCAAAAACGUUUCCAGGCAAGCAAAGAUAUGGAUCAAGGCUCAGAUAGAUUGAGGCUUUCUUGAUCACAUAAUUAUCAGCAGCAGGAGCGAUUGCUCCUCAGUGAAGCCCUGGGUUGCAUCGUAAUGGGUUUACUUUAAAAAAGAACUGCAGGCUCCGACUUUAUACAGAGAGUGUUCUUCUUUAGGAAUCCUAAAUCGAUGAACCUGAGUUUUGUUACGGGCCGUGUAGUGAUGGAUUGGGCCAAUAGAUGGAGCAUCUUUAUUAAUGGUAUAAAUCCAGGCCCAACAUUUCAAAUUCAAAUUUAAGUUCCCACAACAUUUUCACAGAAUCCAGCUCCCGCCAGGAUCAACUUUCACUCCCAAGCCUUUCAUCCCACUCCUGAUUCUGUCAGCUUCCUCUAAUCUCCCUGCAUUAGCAUAAACCGUAGACAACAGCACAUACGUCGAAGGAUUAUCAGGUUCGAUCUCGAACAGAGCUCUAGCAGCAAUCUCUGCAAGUUCCGUCUCGCCAUGAGUUCGACACGCAGCAAGAAGCGCACCCCAAGCUUUCGCAGUCGCCUUCACCGGCAUCCCACGUAUAACCUCAUAAGCCUCGUUCAACCUCCCGGCCCUGCUCAAGACAUCGAUCAAACAAGAGUAAUGAUCGCUACUUGGGGAUAAACCGUAGUCACCCUGCAUCUUUUUCAGGUAACCGAUCGCUUCGUCGGCCAAUCCAGCGUGACUGCAAGCUUUCAGAACUGCAAGAAAUGUAAUCUCAUCGGGGCGCACUUUCGCCGAUUCCAUCUGUUUGAAUAUCUCCAGCGCGGUCAUUGCUUGUCCAUGUAGAGCGUAAGCUGAUAUCAAGCUGCUCCACGGAACGACAUCUUUUUCUUCCAUGGUUUGGAAGACUGUUGCUGCGCUGUGCAGAGAGCCACACCUUCCGUAUGCCUCCACGAUUCCGCUCCUUAUCUGUGGAUGCGGAUCGAUAUGAUUCCUUAUCGAAUAGCCGUGUAUCUCCCUGAUGAAAUUCAACGAUGCCAUGUCCGCACAAGCUGGCAAUAGAGCAAGAAGCGUAAUCAAAUUCGGUUUCAACCCCACUUCAUUCACUUUCCUGUAAACUCUAAUCGCUUUCACAGCUCCAUCCUCCUCCUCCGCCAAGCCGGAAAUCAGCGAGUUGAGAGUUGAAACACUUGGCUCGACAUCCAUCGCGUUAAACACAAGCAAUGCCUCGCGGACCAUCCGGGAAUGUGUGUACAGAGAUACCAUCACAUUCCAGACAACAACGUUUCUCUGGGGAAUUUCGUCGAACAGUUGGCGUGCAAUGUCAACCGACACACAUUUGCCGUACAUGUCGAUCAGAGAACUCGCCACGAAUGGGUUCGAGAGGAGACCCAUUCUCCGAACGAUGGCGUGAAUCGCGGAGCCUAACUGAGGUUGGCGAAUUGCUGCGCAGGAUUUGAGCACAAGAGGGAAAACGGGAGGAUCGAGAGCUACUGAGGAUUGCAUGUGAUGAAACAGAGCCAGUGCUUGUUCGUGAUUGCCUCUGUUUACUAAGAGGGUUAGUUGCUUGGUGAGGGAGAUCAAUCUGGAGUUGCUUGAGAGAAAGCUCAUUGUUCAGUAAUCAGCAGUAGUUGUUGUUCAUCCUGAUUCCUGUGGUACAGUCUCUGAAUUAUAACGAUUUCAAGACAGGUUUUUCUCUCCGUUAAGAAGCUAGGUUCUCAUUUUUUUAUAAUUUGGAUUUUGUACACAUUUUGGCCCCUCGACUAUACAAAGUUAACAAAUAAACCCACCCAACGCUUGAUAAAUGAAUAAUUCGAUUAUUAAUCAUCGAUUCGGUUCACCUUCUUAAUUAAACAAAACAACAUCUCAAAUUAAACAAAACAGAAAACUAGAAAAGGGAAACUACAAAUUCACUUCUCUGUAAUAAUAAAUCUUACCUAGAGCAGCUACGAAUGUAAUUACUCAAAAGUUUUACUAGAAAAUAUUAGCACCUCCAAGUUAGCUCGAAGCACAUUCGCGAUGGUCCCCCGGUCACCUCUAGCCCUUGUGUUGUCUUCUUCACUUUGUAAAGUUGACGUAGCCAACUCCGGUGCUCACAAGACCCUUCUCCACUUAUCUUCGUGGACGGUAGCCGGUAUACCGAAGAAGUUAAAUUCAAAAAUGCCAUGGUCAUCUGCUCAUGUUGUCUGCCUUUGGAACCAACAUUGGUUUUUCUUUUCAAUUUCGAAAAUGAAUCAACUAUGGUAAAAAACCUAGGACGACAAGUCCAAAAUAGAUUAUCCAAAAGAGCUCUUGGGUCCAUGCUUGGAACCGAGCUUAUGAUCAAGUUCUCGAUGGCCCUUGGAUGUACAUUGUGAUCAGCUUUUUCCUCGUUGAAGGUAACCUGAUAGUUUUAGUAAAAAUAGUAAACAUUUUUACAUAUUAACGACAUCGAAACAAUAUAAUCUUAAUUAACCGUUACUUAAUGGUAAAAAAGACCAUACCUCCUUGGCGUAGCAGCGAAUCAUAAUAGUGUUGAACUGCGUGAACUUGGCGAUGAAACUCUUCAAUCCAACAAACCAUGCUUGAGUAUCACAAACAUUAUGAUGGAGCGGAAACUCAGCCUUACAAUCAUUAGUGGCAGCGAUGGCGGCACUCGUGAUUUCACAUAUGUUUAAUGUCCCCGGGACAGCUUGAUAUUUGAGGAAGAAUUUCGACAAUUCUGAUCCAGCAUCAACUUCAAUCUCUUCCAAUCCACGCGGUGGAAACAGUGUGAACUCCUCGAGGUUAGGAUUAGAAAGCUUCAGCUUCUUCACGUAAGAUUGGCUUACAUCCAGAUUUAAGGAUUUCAGAUGUUUGAACUUUGAAAUCACCGGACCGAAAUCAUCGAUUCUUGAUCUUGGAGAUGUCAAAUCCAAAACAGCCAACCGAGGAGCUAUAAUUGCAAUUCUUGUGAACGUAGUUGGGUCCUUGAUAGACAGAGUCUCGAGUUUAGCAGCUGAGAUCUCAAUUUCCUGGAGGCAAUUACAGUCAUCGAUCACGAGCGUCUUCAAGUUGGUAAGAUCACAAAGCUGGAGCUUACUCAAUUGCGGAAGAAACUUAAGCUUUAGGGUUUCAAGAACGGGAGAGCUAGCAAUCAAGUUCGCCAAAAGUCGAUAGUCCGUAUAUUGGACAUCAUUCAGGUCUAAGAUAAGGAGAGAAGGCAGAGAAAGCGGGAGAUCAUUACCGUGUUGGUUGUCGGCAAACUGGAUAGCUCCCAACCGGAGAAUCUUCAAGUUGGAAUUGGAUGAUUUAUGAAAGGUCAAUCGGAGGUUUGAAAAAUUUGACCACUUUCCGGUGAUCGAGAUCUCUUCGGAUUUCCUACUUGAUGCUAAAUCCAGCAGCUGAUUAGCCAAUGGCGAAUAGGCUGCCUUGUCGCCCCUUGGUAACGAAACCUCAAGCGAUUCUAUCAGCAAACGCUCGUCACGAUUAAACCUCUCGAUAGCUGCCUUGGCGAAUUCCUGAAAACAUUCCAAGGCCGGUUUUUUGCAGUUGUUCUUGGGAUUGGAUACUUUCUUUCGAUCCUGAUAGUCGAACUUCAGGAUUGGAUACGAUCGCCAAGCACGGAGCCAACGCCUGGACAGAGUACUAGUCAAUGCUGCUUUCCUGGAGGACUUCAAGCAGCGGAGGAUGCAGUGGAUGAUUUCAUCCGGUAAUUCUGAGAUCCGAUCGAUCCCUGUUGAUUUACUCCCAUGCUUCGUCUUCUUCUUCAUCGCCGGCGAUGAUCUGAGCUCUUUUGUUCUAUUGAAAGAAUCAGAGAUUUUCCAGAGUUUUAUAUGAAAACGCAAUACCCUACAACUGGUUCUUGGGCUUUUUGAAAUGGGCUAGAAUGUUAUUUUGGGUCAGAGAAAGAAAAUAAAUAUAACAUAAAUAUUUAUAUAUGAAAGGCGAAAAAGACCUACAGUAGUUUUACAUAAAUAUGGACUUUGGUUAUGUAGUUCGGUUAGCGGGCAGACAGGGCGCUUUCCUACAUGGGUCGUUAGACGACCAUUUAAGGGAGCCUCCAGACUUUAUUCUGAAGCUUGGCUCGAGCUACUUUUGCUUUCGGGAACAGAUAGCUUGUGGCCCAAGUCUACCUCUCCAAAAGCAAACCCUACGCAAUUCAACCUACCAACUUUGACUCUCUCUUCGUGGAGAGAUUUGUAACUCAUAGUUGAAUUCAAAUUCGAUAUCUCUAAAUAAAUCUCCUACUAUACAAAGUAAUUGAACUAAUUGCAUUACUCCACAUGGCUAUUUCUUAUUUAUUUCCGAAGGCUUAAUUUUCUUUUGCGUUGAAUGCCUUACUUUUCAGUUUUCAGUUUAUUUUACUUUGGAUUAAUACACAUUUUGGCUCCUUAGCAAUAUGACGUUAACAAACAACUCCUCUUACUAUUUCUGGCUAGUUUAGUAGUUUUUCAUUCAUACACCAUUAAACUUGUCGACUCAACAUGUCUAAUCAAUCGUUUUAAAACAUAGUGUUUCGAAAUAGAUUUGAAGUUAUAAUAUUAAUACGUAUAUCAUAUGCAUCUCGAUAGCUAUUAAUAUCUGGUUCAUCUUUCUACCCCUCGAGGAUGAGUCGAUACAUCAGCACUGUGUCUCGUCGCCCGAGAGUAAAAAAGUCAGAACUUAUUCAUAUUUGUAGACAGCUUAUUCAUAUAUAUGUAUUGGAUUGUGAAUGAAAUAUAUAAAGAAAAUUACGUAUGAAUCUCAUUGCUGAACUUGAUUCACCCUAAAAUUACACCGUUAUCUGAAGCAUAAAUCUACCAAGAGUAGCUACGAAUUAAAUUACUCGAAAGUCUUACUAAAAAAGAUUAGCACCAAGUUAGCUCGAAGUAUUUUCGUGAUGGUCGUCCUAUCAACUUUAUCCCUUACACAGUCAUUUUGUUGUCACAUAACAAUACUCAAAUCCACUUUAAUUUUUGUUUUAAAAUCUAAUGGUCUUCAUUUAUUGAAUAUUUUAGUUUUUCUUCUUUCUUUUUCAUCGGAAGGGUUUACGCCUCCUUCGAUCUCUAGGUCCGUCUCCUCGGCCGUGGAGGCAGGUGGUAAUUGAUGUCGUAGAGACCGACGGACGGAGCUGGGAGAAGGCAGUCUUCUAUCGGACGGUGGAAGAAAAACGAAAGGGACCGGCGGAAGGAGGAUAGACGAAAGGAAGCGGCAGUUUGAGAAUAAGACGAAAAGGAGCGAUGGUUUUGGGAGGAAGAGAAAUUGGAUUUGGGAGAGGUUCUAGAAAAUAAUAGAAAUCCUAUGUUAUUUGGUGCUUCCUUUAUUUGGACAAUUAAGUUCAUGUUAUUUCUAACCUUUAGAUCUUAAUACCUAAAAAUAUUUUAAAUUUCAUUUUGUUAUUAUUUAGAGAAGUUAAUAUGGUGACAUUUAAAUUUUUAGUUAUUUCUAACAUGCAUAUAAAAUAUUAGCUAAUUUAUAAAUUUUCAAUUUUUAUGUGUAUUGUUAUUUUUUCUGUGUAAUAAUUCAUGGAAAUUGAUAAUUUUGACAUGAAAAUUUUUAAAUUUUCAAAUCAAUUAAUAUUUGACCUUCAUAUUGGAAAUGGUUAGAACAACAAGUUUCAUUAUGAUAACUCUGUAAGUAAUUGUCAAAUGAAGUUAAAAGUUAUUUUUUAUGUUAAGAUAGUGUUGAAAUUUAUCAAACUGGCUUACUUUCUAUAUGAAUGUGGUGAGAAACAACUAAAAAUCUAAACAUUAUGGUGAAUAAUCUAGACCAACAAGCCUACAAUAAACUAUUUAGAAGACAUUUUUCGUUCGGAACAAAUAAUGCAACUCGAUUUCCAAAUAUUUGAUGAUCUUAGUCUAAUCUAUCUCUUUGAGUUAAAUUUGUAUCGUAGAAUGACAAACAAGCAAAUUUUUAUGAAUUCUUUAUAAAAAAAAGGUUUUAUGAAUUAGUAGUAUAUAUGUGCUGGUAAUAUCCAAAGCAAAAAUAUUAACUGUUACCAACCGUCGGAUACGAUACUGCAUGAACGGUCCGAUUCUAAAGGCCCAAAAUCUAAACCCUAAACCAACUAAUCGUACGCCAUAUUUAUACUACUCUGUAAAAUCUCUUUGUAACUUCCGACUGGUUUCCUGAUCAUCACCGGCGAUCAAUGACGAAGACCAAGAAUGGCAAUGAACCGUCCGCAACCACCGGAGCCGAUCGGAUCUCAGAACUACCGGAUGAAAUCAUCCUCUGCAUCCUCCGCCGCUUGGAGUCCGACAGGGAAGCAGCAUUGACAACUACUCUGUCCAGGCGAUGGCGAAGCCCUGGCGAUCGUAUCCAAUCGUGGAGUUCGACUACAUGGGAGUAUCCAAUCGUGCGGUUCCACUACUGGAAAAUUUUCAGGACUUCGCCCAGGCAGCUAUCGAGAGGUUUAAUCGAGACAAGCUUUUGUUGAUGGAAUCGCUCAAAGUUUCGGUUUCGUUACGAGAAGAUGGCAAGAUACCGUAUUACCCAUUGGUUGAUCAGCUGCUGGAUUUAGCAUCAAAGAGGAAAUCCAAAGAGAUCUCAGUCUUUCUGUCUUCACACCGCGAUAAUGGGCAAAUCGACCGCCUCUACUCGCCCUUUCGUCUACUCUCCAAUUCCAGUAUGAAGAUUCUCCAAUUGCAAGGUAUCAAUUUCGCGUAUGAUGAUGAUCUCCGCCUUCCUCUGCAUUCUCUGCGCUUCGUAUAUCUGAAUGAUGUCUAAUUGGAGGACGAACGACUUCUGGCGAACUUGAUUGCAAGCUCCCCGCUUCUCGAAACCCUGAUACUAAUCCGUAUUGGGGAAUUGAGUAAGCUCCACUUUCGCAAUCUUACCAACCUGAAAAGGCUCGUAGUCUCGCACUGUGGUUCCCUCGAGGAAAUCGACAUUGUAGCUGCUGAACUCCGGACUCUGCAUGUUCAUUGGGCAUAUUGUGUCUCCAGUGUUGAAAUUAUAGCCCCCAGGUUGACUGUGUUUAACAUUAGUGGUACGACAAUCGACGAUCUUUGUCGGGUGAUUUCCAAUUUCAAAUCUCUGAAAUCCUUAUUCUUGGAUUAUAUGUAUCCUCCCGCGAAGCAGCUGAAAAUUUCCAGUCCUAACCUCGAGAAGUUCACACUGGUUGUAUCGCCUCGAUUGGAAGAGAUCGAACUCGAUGCAACGUCAGGUUUGGCGAAAGUCUUUCUCAUAUAUCGAGAACUAGUACCGCUUCGUAAAUUAAAGAAAAUUGAGAUCGGGAAUGCCGCCAUCUCUGCAACUUAUGAAUGGAAGGUUGAGUUUACUAUGACCACUGCCAUUCGAAACACACACACAUGGUUUGUUGAAUUAAGGACUUUCAUGACAAAAUUCAUGCAGUUUCAAACGAUUAGCAUUGGUUGCGCCAACAAUCAGGUAUCGUAUCCGGUAUUUAGUAACAUUUUAUAUUUUUUCGUUUCGAUAAUUAUCAUAAAAACUUGUUUGUCAUUCUGUAAUACAAGGUUGCUUUUAAGGAUGAAGAAAUAGAUCACACCGAACUUCCAAGGACUAUCCAGCACUUGAAAAUCGGGUUCAAAUGUGAUGUUGUAAACGGAAGAUCUUUCCUGAAUGGUCUAUUUUGGACUUGUCGUCCUACUUCAUUGACCAUAAUUGAUAGUAAGCCUAUAGAAGCUGAGACGCUUUCCCAUUUAUUCUUGAAGUUGACUGCGCAAUAUUCACUAAAACCUUGCAUGGAGGACAAUGAAGGAGGUUUUAAUGAGUAUCGGAAUUGGUUAUAUCAACUCAAGGAUGUGAAGAUGAUAAAGCAGCUCAGCAAUUGCUCGAAUACGUAUACUUACUUCGAGCUAACUUGGUUCUAAUAUAUUUCCGUGCUUCGUACACAUACUUUACUGCUUUAGCUUCAAACUUCGUGAAUUAUUUGAAGAUUUCCUUUGAGUUUUCAUACCUGAUUCAAGUACUGUCCAACUGCAUUGUUAAUUAAUUACAUCAUUUGCCGUUAAUUAUAGAUCAUGAAUAAAAAUUCAAGGAGCUCUUUAAUCCACAAAAGAGAUUUCAAGGCUUGAUCGUUCAUAUGUAGAAAAAAGUAUUGAUCGAAUUGUAAAGCACGAAACCGACGCUAGGAGUGAUGGGGGACCACUAUGUUUGUUGAUAUAACCUAUUGAUGUUUGCCAUACGUUUCUCUGUUCCUCACUUACAAUAGAUCAAUGUAGCUUAUGAUGGCUUUUUAUGGUCGCUACAUUAAUUAUUAAUAUUAUUCCGUUAUUAUUCUUUCCUUAUUCCUUUUUUAUUCUACGUUUAUCACUUAUAAUAUUUUCUUCCCUCCCGCAAUGCAAACGUAAGAAAUUUAGUCCUCAGAUCAUCACGCACUUGUUAUUAAUUUGAUAGGUCCAGAGGCUUAUUUUAACUUGAAAAUUGCAAGUUCACCGAAUUGGAAGAGAAACUACUAGCUAGCUAGUGUCAACGUACGUAUAUGAACACAUCAUAAAGUAAUGAAAAUUAGUCAUUACAUGCAUUUGUUUUUACAGAACCACAAAAGGCUCAGAAAUAAUCAGGUUUGAAAAUGGUAGGCAAGUUAGAGUGAAGAUCUUGAUAAGGGUUAAUGCCGAUGAAUUGAUCCCAAAUUUUCUGAUCAUAUUUUGAUUACGAUCGGAAAUAAAGUUUAUGUAUAAUAUUUUAGCUCCGACAGUUAUAAAAAAAUGUUUGAUGAAUUGAUCCUCUGAGUACAACCAUCUGCUCUAGUUGGAGUUGAAUUGCCUAAGAGAUUUUGGAUCGUCGAGCCUAUAAGCCCACAAAUUAGUAGGCCUUCACUAUUUAUCGUAAUAUGUGUUGAGAUCUCAUCGAGGUGUCUCCAGUUGAGGGCUAGGAUUGCUCUGGUCACAUUUACUUGUUUGAGUAUUAAAAGUAUUACAUGCCUUGCUCACAUGUCACUGCUAGGAUAGGUUGUCAUAAAUUUAGAGGGAAUAUUUUCUUACUAUGUAUUAUUUGUCCGUUUUUUAUUUGUUUUUUUGAACUCACUACCAUAUAUUCUUACGAGAAAUAAUUAUAAAAUUAGACCAGAACAAAAAGAAAUACUUGGAUUGACGACUAUAAACCCAUCACCUCUUAUUGUCCAUCCUCGACAAUUUUCGAAUCAUAAUCCAAAAGCUGUGAGAUCGACCUUAACAUAAUCCGGAAGAAAUGAAAGAGUACGGCGCACCACAAAGUGGUCAACCCCAUCUAUAAACCGUCGACAUCUAGAUCCAAGAGCAUAUUGUCAGAAGGAUGAGGAUCUACGUAAUGAUGACACCACCACUCACGCAAUGUGUAGUCCGCUAGGAGAGCCUGUAGAGGACCAGCUCCGCGUGGUCUUCAAUGUCCAGUGAGUGUGAUCAAAAUAAUUAGCUAGCUAGAGUUAGACCAAUCAAAUAUAAAUUACUUAUGAGGGAUGACUUAAUUAAUUUGGAAUGGACUUAAUUUAUUGGAAUAAAAAGAAAUUAUCUAGUUGGAAGAUGUUGAAUUUUGCUAUUUAGUCCUCGGAUGAACCCUAAAUCUUUUUGUUUUAACUUGAAUGUAAUAAGUUCACCGAAGUGAGGAAUCCCAUCACGAAAUUGAAAGAGAAACUACUAGCUACUGUCAACGUAACAUAAAGUCAUGAAAUAAGUCAUUAAGUUCCGAAAAAUUAAGGUUCUAAAUUGAUAGAUAAGAGUUAACUGAUCGUCGGAAUAUGUGCACUUGACUAUACAGGGUCCGAGUUGGAGUUGGAUCGUCUAAGAGGUUUUGGGUCAUCGAGCCUAUGUAUAAUCCCACAAAGUAGGUCUUGCUUACCGUAAUGAGUCACGAGAUCCCAUCGGAGUGCCUUGAAUUGAUAUAAUGAUGACCCUGAUCACAUCUACAGCUGAAAUGAGGCAACCUUGCUCUAGUAUAUAAAAACCACAUUCUUUAGGUACGCACUAUUUAUCCAUUUUUCAUUUAUCUUUUUCCAUUUACGUCAUUUUUUAAUUCACUACCUUACAUUUUAUAAUUCUUGCGAGGAAUAAUUACAAAGCUAACCUGUAUGGGAACAAAAAAAGUACUACAACAAUAAGCCAAUAACCUCUUAUUAGUAAUUGAAUGUAAUUGAAAGAGCACAAAUACUACUUGAUAAACCACCAGUCAAAAGAGUCCAAUGAAACUAGAAGGCAACUGGAAACCCCUCCCCAACUUCCUGGAAAAUCCAUUCGGUUUAAUUCUCAGUUGAUUUUUUUCGACAGACACCACAUCUAGUGAUGAUGUCGUGAGAUAGGUAAUGUCGCCAUCUCUAGGAACAAAGUCUGAAAGUCGAGCGCUACAACAUGUUUGGCUAUGAUAGUUAAAGGCACGGUUUUCGGACUGCCCAAACACGAUUUGAUCCGGCCGGCCUUCCCUCGCCCUAUACAAUUACUAAUCUGCCCAAAACACCCUUUGAACUUUCUACGCAUCAAGACUUUGGAACACCUGCUUGCAUUUCCAGGUUUCCACCCUCCCCAACAAGCACAUUAUUUUAAUUAUUUCAAGGAUGACUUGAUGUUCUUGAACCUGUCAUGUCCCUAUUUAUAGUUUCAUUUCUGGGAAUGAUCUGUAUAUCCAAAAUUAGCUAUGGCGAGAACUCGUUACGUUGACCGGAACGGAUUGACCAAGGGAACUUGGACCCCUGAAGAGGACAGGAAGCUUGCAGCCUAUGUUUUCCAGUACGGCUGCAAGAACUGGCGCCAGCUGCCGAAAGCAGCCCGUCUGGCGAGGUGCGGGAAGAGCUGCCGGCUCCGGUGGCUCAACUAUCUUUGUCCGGAUAUCAAGAGAGGCAAUUUCACCACAGAAGAGCGGGCUUCCCUCGUCGCCUUGCGCGAAUCUCUAGGCAAUAAGUAAGUAUGUAUGUGUAUCAUGAUUCAUCAUGUGUAGGGUUCGACUCGGUUUGCGAGAAUUCCUGUCCAGUUAGGAAAACGGUCCAAAAUUUCAUCCAAUUUUUCUCCUGCCGAACCAAACCGUAUAGUAAUAUUGCUGAUCCAAUACAUCAAUGGUUUCUAGCGAGAAUUUAACUCGACGGGAGAUUCGCGAAGUCUAACACUCACGAAUUAUCCAGGAUAGCAAUUAAACUCGUUUGAGGAGUUUUCUUGGCGGCUCAUGUUCCGAUGGCUCAAUUCUGUUGGUCAACGGCGAUAAUGAAAUUGAGCAUGCCUCUGCCUCGUUUUCUCUCCAUUGUGAUUCGUGAAGUCUAAACCUCUUCUUGCAAUAAACUUUUAGCAUUUGAUUUAAAAAAAUCCACAAAAAUCGCGAUUUUCUUAUCGACAGUAGUAAGAUUUUUUGGAUCAAUAGGUUAAAAUCGGACCCUAAUUUGACGAAUUGUAACUCGUAUAUUUUUCGGUUAUUGUUGCAGAUGGUCAGUGAUUGCAACUCACUUGCCAGGAAGGACAGACAGCGAGAUCAAGAACUACUGGAACACAUACCUCAAGCCUAGACCAGAAGCAAAAUCCGUCCUCGAUCCACCUCAUGUACACCCAACCAACAUCCUUGAUAACGAAAAUAUCGUUCCCUAUACCGAUAUUUCGGAUCGCGAACAACAAGAAACUAAUAGUACAUUAACCCAAACCUACCAAAGCAACCAUGAAAUGAUCACUACUGUUCAUGGAGAAGAUCAGUCACUUGAUCAGAUGGUCGCCGGGGGGAAUUACUCGGAUGCCAGUGCUUGGUCUGAUCAAUCGACAGUUACGAAUGACCGUCAUGAGUUCGUCGAUGAUGAUCUUAUUGGUGACGAUUUCUGGUCAAAGUCAUUCUUGACUGAUUAUGGGGGUGAUCAUGAUCAGUACUAUACAGCAAUGCAGAGUGAGAUUUACGGUACUGAUGAUGAAUUUCAGUUGGCCAAAGACACCCUUUGGCUUGAUUAUGAAUUGAACUAUAGGUACACUUAAUUAGGGCUUUUACAUAUAGUAUCGUAAUACCAUUUUCCAGUCAUAAUUUGAGUUAUAUAUUUUUGGGGUGCGGAGUUAGGAUGGAAAUAUGUACUCAGUUGAAUAAAUUUUCGAUAUCAUAUUGAAAUUUGAAGUCGAUUGAUGAUUCCAUUAUAUGAACUUUCCUACCAAUAGUAUAUGACACUACAAGAAAAUGCAAUUUUAAAUUUUUAGUGACUACCAGGUUAGUGAUUGAUCGAUUUUCAAUAAAAUGGUCACUAGUGACCUUUAGUGACCAACACAUCGCAUAUUUACUAUCAGUAAUCUGCAUUUUCUUGUAGUGCGAAACUCACCCAACUCCCCCCUAAACAUGCAUGGUUAUCGGGCCUGGAUGUAGCGAUUCUUCACAUAGGAGUUAAUGAUGAAUCACGGCUUUCUCAAAUAUAAUUAAAACAUUUUAGCUAAUGAUAGCAAGCAGUGUUUUCAAAACCGUACUUGUAUGAACGACUCGAUCACUCAUCACAAUAGUCUAGUACAUACAAUUACGAGUUCAACUAUUAAACUCACAUCAUAUAUCGUUAGACUCACUAAUUUGACAUGGUUCGGAAAAUAAUGCACUAAGGGUUUGGUUUCUUCAUCCCCCCUUGCUUGUACGUUAUCUUUUGGAUGUUAAUUUAUAAUCUCAUUCACCACAGAAAAAUAAUAAAUUAAAGUUAAUGAUCAAGGUGGCAAAUGUUGAAACAAGGUUGAUAAAGACACUCUAAUUGUAUUUUCUAGUGUUUUGUGUCAACUUCAUCAAAACAAAUGCAUACGUACGUAAGACAAAUGUUUCAAUUAUUUUGACAAACUAAUCCUCAAUAAAAUAAAAUAUUUUUUAAACAAUAAGAAAAUACAUAAUUAUGUCAUUUAUGUGACGUAAUUAUAUUAUAUCACAUGGUUCGUCACAGGGGUUUUAUGGGAAGAAGGACAAAAUAUCAAAUCAUANNNNNNNNNNNNNNNNNNNNNNNNNNNNNNNNNNNNNNNNNNNNNNNNNNNNNNNNNNNNNNNNNNNNNNNNNNNNNNNNNNNNNNNNNNNNNNNNNNNNNNNNNNNNNNNNNNNNNNNNNNNNNNNNNNNNNNNNNGUUGUUGGACUGAUUCUAAUACACGGAAUGUUUUUUAUUUAUUUGAUUUGAUUAUUAUUCGAAGGGUUUAAUAUAGUGGAAUCUUAAUUUUUAGUCAUUUCCAAGAUGUAUGCUAAAUAUUAGUCAAUUUAAAAAUUUUCAAUCUUUUAUCAAAAUUGGUCAAUUUCCAAAGGGGUAUACAUCUACGGAAAUGAGCCAUUUUGACAUGAAAAUUUUAAAAAUUUUAAAUCGACAAAUAUUUGACGUGCAUGUUGGAAAUGACUAAAAAAUCAAGUUUUACUAUGAUAACCCUUGUAAUAUUUGACAUGUGUAAUAGGCAUCACGUGGCUGCUAGUCACUAACACACGGUCGUGUGUUGUUAAUACAUGGCUGGGUGUUAUAAAUACAUGGAUUUUGGACAUAUUCAACAUCAAAGUGAUAGACACUCGAAUUAUCUUUCCAACGCCAGUGACCUUGCAUCAAUUGAACUUCCGAGCGACGAGUUAUGCUCGAAAUACUACUUUGCGACGCUUUCUUUCCAAGUAAAACGUACUGAGUUGUUACAGCCUCUCUGUCAUGCUUUAGUUCAUCUCGAGACGUCAUAUGACACCUAAAAUGUACCAAAAACAUACAAAACAACAUAAAAUGGUCCUAGGGGCCAAUGAGGAACCAAACAUGCACAAAAGUCAUGAAUUCGAUCAAGUUGAGGCAUCCAAACAUCAAUAAAAUGUUGUUUAAAACGCGAGGAUAUGUGCUACUAAUCAAGCACGUCAUAAAUAUUUAUAUAUAUAUAUAUAUAUCAACUAAGAUACUAAUUCAUGUGUAAGGUAGAAGUUAUUCGUUUAUCCCACAUCAGAAAGUAAAAGCGAUUAGGUAACGUUUAUACAUGUGAGUGAAAACCAAUCCCUUAAAGCUAAAUUUUAAGGAUGAAAAUAUCCAAUAACAUCGAAUAAUAAAAUUAUAACUCAGGUCGACAACACAUCCGCAAUCCGGUGACCAACGUUUGACAUUUCCAUCAUGUAUCAUCUUGGCCGUCCGUAAGAGGAUGGCAUGGAAACGGCAAAAAGCUAAACCCUAAGACAUAAUAAAACGACAACAGAACGAGGUUGGUGCCAGCAGUAGUCCUCCUCCCGUUUACUAAGACGACUCGCCGUUUUAAUCAAACCGUCCAAAGUCUUGUUUCCCACUAUCAUCCUGCAUCGAAAAUCCGUUGAACUUUCUCACGAAAUUCCACACGCCUCCCAUUUCUUUAGUAUUUGAUCGUAGACUUCGAAAAAGGACACACGAAUCAAUCAACUGAUCGAUGACUUACAUAUGCUUGUAUAUAUGUACACAAUUUUUGUUCAUCGAUCUUCACCAUUAAAGAUGGCGAGGACUCCUUACGUUGAUAGGAACGGGUUGAAGAAGGGAACCUGGACUCCUGAGGAAGACAUGAGGCUUGCGGCGUAUAUUUCGAGAUACGGCUGCCGGAACUGGCGCCGGUUGCCUGAAGACGCGGGGUUGAAGAGGUGUGGGAAGAGCUGCCGGCUCCGGUGGCUGAACUAUCUCCGGCCGGAUAUCAAGAGAGGGGGGUUCACUAAGGAUGAGGAAGCUACUAUCCUUGCUUUACAUGAAAAGCUAGGAAAUAAGUAAGUAUCACUCACUCAUGUCUUUGAUCGAUUCGAGUUAAUUAUAGGGAUUUGCAAUGAUGAUGUGGGUACGAGAAAAUAUAAUUUUAGAGGCUGUAAUUAUGCAACCGUUUCAUAAAACGGUAACUAAUUUACUAGGCUAAACAGGUUGUAGUUUAGCGGUUCUAGCAGUCUGAUUAAUUUGUUCACAGAGAUCCUGGAUUCAAAGCCUAAAAUGUGCAAUCAUUUCGGCGUCCUUGUCAUGGCAUAACCGGUCUCCCCUGGGCAUACGGACGGCCGGCCCAAAAUUUACCUGAAUGCGGCAUCACUAAAUGUGGUACCUGUUGAAAGGGUUCUCCGUAUCUUAAAAAAACUAUUGGUCACUAAAAAUUAUUGGUGACCAUUUAGAUCUAUUAGUGACUUUUUACCAAAAAAAGUCACGAAAUUGCUUGUCACUAAAACUACAGUUUACUUAUUUUUUAUUAAAUUAUGUAAAGCUAGCUAGAUCUAGAAUAAUUUAUUUAAUGCACUUGGAUGAAUUAUACAUAAUUUUAAAUCAUAUAAAUUCUAAACUUAUAUGGUUGUUGAAAAUAUUUGCAGAUGGUCGAUAAUAGCGACUCACAUGUCAGGGAGAACCGACAACGAGAUAAAGAAUUUAUGGAACACGCACCUAAGGAAACUGCAACCUCCAGUAGAACUUCAGAAAGAAGCUACGUGUUCGAACAUUGAUGCCGUCGAUGAUCAUCACUCUCCUCAGCAGAUUUCUGCCGGGAGCAAUGCAUCAUCGGGAACCAGCUGUGUGGCGGCAGAUCAAGCGAUGUCGAUAAGUAGAUCGGUGGCGCCGACGGGAAAUGAUGAAGUACUUAUUAGCGACGAUUUCUGGUCACAACCAUUUUUGCCUUAUGGGGAAGAUAUUGAUCAGGGUACUGAGGCUUACGGUACCAGUGGGGAUGAGUUCCAAAUGGAACGAGAGAUGCUUUGGUUUUAUCAUGCAUUGAUGAAUUACUCUUAUUAAUUAGGGUUUAAUAUUCACAUAGAGAAGCAGAAAUAGUACUUUAAUUUGAGGACGGUAAAUUUUAACGGCUGUGGGUAAUAAUUAAUAGAAGUAAAUGCUUUUUGCUGUAAUAAUGGACAAGGAUUUGCGCCAUGUGUGGACGGUUAAUUUACUUUUUUAUUACCUUUUAGUAUUUUUGGUGCAUGCAAACUCAGUCAAACGUAACUAUGUUACAAGGUCAGACUACUGAAGACUCCAUUUUAAAGUAAUUAUAUUAAACCUUAUUUUUUACAAAGAGAGUGAGUCUAGAUCGUCCUAAGUGGUAGAAUUGCGUACUGACAAAGAAUUUGAGAGGUAAAAAGUGAACAUUAAGCAUACAUCGGUUCAAGAAAACGAGUCCAACCGGUUCAAGCCCAAGUACACGUACGUGAAAAUGGGCUCCGUUAGGAGGGUGAUCAAGGCUCUAGGGUAAGCUAGUUGCAGGUUGUCGCCCCCGCUAGAUAUAUAUAAGUCAGUGGAGGAAGGGUAGAACUCAUUAAAUAAAUACAUUUUUUACUCAUAUCCUUAAUUAUUAUUCGUCUACUUAGUAGUGUAUCAUUUUGCAACACAAAAAUAAUAACACAAGUGAAUAGUAAGAUGCUGCCUAAGGUCACUAUGACUAGGACCAUACUGUACAAAUCGGUGAUGCUAACGAUAUAAGGUUACUUUUGAGACAAUUACAGAACUGUAAAUUACAAUUGAACACUCAUAUUAAGAUAUAAAUCGAAGAUACUUGAGAUAGACUUGUCUACGGCCAUCCCAAUUCCGGAUAUGAGUUGAAAACUGUACUUAAGACAGACUUGCUGUCUAGCAUGGUUAUCAGUUAAUUAGACACAGCUAAUCACUGCAAGAGGUCAACUAAUUACAUGCAUGAUUCCUUGCCUACGUCAUUCUUCCGACGUCAUUUGUCUGACAUCAUCUGCUUGUCAUGUGGCUUUCACACGGAAAAAGACAAAAAUUUGGAAACAUAAAAUAUCGAAUCAAGUUGAUCAUAGAUUAAUACUGUAAUUACUAUCAUUACUUCAGCAGCCGCCCACGGCGUUCAACGGUUGUUUGUUUGUUUUUUUUAAUAAAGCACACGGCGAGUUGAACGCGGUUGACAGUAUCUAACGAAAGACUGGAGACAACGAUCGAAACAUAAAAUAUAAGCCUCUAGUGUUGAGCUGUUGGGUUACUGCAUCUUCCUCUAAUUCUUAAAUUAUUUCUUUCUGACUUGUGAGAUCCGAAAUUAUAAAGUGAUUCUAGGUGUUCCGGUCUAUAGUGCCGGGUGGUUCAAUAUAGUUCGAUCUGUAGAAUGGUGUUUGGUUGGAUUGGAUAUGUCUACUCUGUGGGUUGUGAUCCACCGAGGAUGUAUAUAGGUUAGGGUAGUAAGAGUAAGCGAGUAUAAGAGAGAAGUUUGGGAAAUGGAUCAGUUAAGUAAUCAAAAGUGAGCCGUCUUCUUAGACAUUAUCAGACGUACUUAUGUAUGGAAUGUAAUAAAUUACGAGAUAUAUAUGUUAUGUAUUUGGUCCCGAAACAUAACAAUAGGAUAUUUUAUAUAUAGUUGUUUCAAAUAUCAGGUUCAAAACUAAUACAUAAUAUUUGAAAAGUAUUGAGAAAAAUGUAACCCGACUAAAAAUUACGAGAUUUAUUAACUAUUUUAUCCAAAUAUAAAAGUCAUAAUUAUCGUUCUAAAUAUCAAUAUCGCGACUAAUGCAUAACAUUUGAAACUGACAUGUAGGUAAUCCGACCCAAACUUACGGGACGUACUCGCUAUUUGACCCAUAUAUAAAUUGCAAACGGCCGUAAGCCGUUAUUAUAUCAAAACGACAAACGGAAAACAAACAAAACGGAGAAAGUACAAGGAAUUUUGUGCCGCCGACCGCCGAUAAAUCAAUCUGAUGUUCUUAUUUUCAGACCGACACACUUUCCCAAUGCACUGCGUAGAACACAGUUGGAACUUUCUCGGGAACAGACUCACCUGCUUCCCAAUUCCAUGGAGUGGGGCCCCAUAUUAUUAUUUAACAGAGACCCGAGGUUGACGACAGUCAAAGUCAACACUACUGCAGCUCCUAUAUAUAAAUACAGUCUGGUUUAAUUUCUCCUCAUCAUUAAUUUUGGAUCCAAACUGACUAAACCAACGAUGGCAAGGACUCCCUACGUUGACAGAAACGGACUGAAGAAGGGGACUUGGACUCGUGACGAAGACGUGAAGCUUGCGGCCUAUGUUUCGAGAUACGGCUGCCGGAACUGGCGUCGGUUGCCUCGAGAUGCAGGCUUGGCGAGGUGCGGGAAGAGCUGCCGGCUCCGGUGGCUGAACUAUCUCCGGCCGGAUAUCAAGAGGGGGAAUUUUACGCAGGAGGAGGAAGCUGCCAUCGUUUCCUUGCAUGAAAAGCUGGGGAAUAAGUAAGUAUAUAUGAUCAUAGUGUUAUCGAUCGAGUUAUAAGGAUGCAAUAGUUUUGAUGAUUGGAUUUUAUACAAAAUCCUAGUGGGCAAUCCUUGUUGGUUUAGGAUUCGGAUUGCCUGCUAGUUAAGAUCACCUCUGGGAUUUCAUCACUUAGAAAAUAUAGUUUUAGGGACCAUAAUUAUACAAAAAUGUCACUAAUUUACUUGUCACUAAAAGUUAUUGGUGACUGAUUUGGUCUAUCAGUGUAUUUUUUUAUUAAAAACGAUUACUAACUUGUUGAUCGCUAAAAUUACUUUUUUUUGGACUUUUAUAAAGUUAUUUCAAUAGGCCAUUACAAACCAAACCCGUUCUUAUGGAAUUUCAUUUGUGGCAGUAUUUAUCGAUAUAUAUGCAAUCCGAAUUAUUGAGAUGUAACCACUCUUCAUAUAAACAUUUUGUUUAAGUCAAUUUUUUCUAACUUAGAUCGAAUCUCAUGUGUAUAUGUUGUUUUCCAACGUUUGCAGAUGGUCAGUAAUUGCGACUUAUAUGCCAGGGAGGACAGAUAACGAGAUUAAAAACUUCUGGAACACACACCUCAAAAGGUUACAGCCUAAGGAAGAACCUUUGGAGUCGAACGUGUCAGAUGAAAACGACCGUCACGUUCUUCUAGGGUCGAAUUUUGGAGCCGGUAUCAAGAAUGAAUUUUCUGAUUUCGAUGAAAUUAGCUCAUGGAUCGAAAAUUACAACGAGGACAUCAAUCACGCCGCUAUUGAAGUGUCUGUGUCACCACAUGAUCUCGAUCAUUACUCUCCUGAUCAUCAUAUGUCCGUCGGGAGCAAUUCCUCGUCGAACUCCGAGACAGAAAUGGCAACAACGGCGGUGGCGUCUAAUGAUGAGUUAGGGGAUCUCAUUAGUGACUAUAUCUUGUCACAACCAUUUUCGACCUAUGAGGAAGUUGAUCAGUACGACACAUGGUGGAGUGAGGUUUGGCGUACCAGUACCAACACUGAUCAAUUCCAGUAUAUAUGAGGAUAUAUAUACUAGUACCAAGUGUUGAGGGUAAUUACUGUUUUUGUAACUUCCUACAAAGCUAGGAAACUAAGUGAAAGAGUCUUGAUUUUACCUUUUACAAAUGUCAAGAGUCUUAUUUUCCGAUCUCAAUGUUUGGAUUGAUGUUUAGUUCUGUUUUUUUAUUUGCAGCUACUUUGAUUUUUCAUGUCAGUAGUAAUACAAAAAAAAUGUCAAGAGUCUUAAUUAAUGUGUUGACUUACUCACGUUUGAUUCUGGGUAGAGAAUCUACAGAACAAGAGUUAGCAGAUGCUCCUGCCCAAGACUUACAUCCUCUGAACUUAGAUCUCAAUCAUUUUCCUAUUUUUAUUGUAUGAAAUCGAUAUUUUUCUGGGUGUAAAUCCUGGUAUUUGACGCAUGGUUCGACUAAUCCAAUCGAGGAUGGUUCUUAGAUUAAAGUUUUACUUCUAUCUUGACAUUGUUACGAAGAAUGGAACAUUGAUGAUGAAUCGUAAUUAGCCCAUUGCUCAGAUUUGUCUCUGAUGGGCUAGAAUUGCACUGAGGAUUUAUCUCUGAUGGGCUUCAGCCUUCUAUUUCUGUAUCAUUGUCGGCCCAUCAAUCCUCAGCCGCCGUCGAUGCCAUUCUCCUUUCCUUCUAAUGCCGUCAUCUCCAACCUCCGGUCAGAUCUCCACCGCUCGGCGCGACCACCUAACCCAAUUACUUGUCGGAGCAGCAGGAAAAUAACGGAGUAAACGGGCAAAGAUGAAAAUAGACGAGUCUAUUGACGGCGGCGGUAAAUUCUAUAUCCGAUAGCAAUCAGAAGCUCAGUAUCUCCGCUCUUUCUUUGCUCUGCUGUUCACUCUUCUUCGUUAGAUUCCUGCAAUUAAAUUUGAAUGUUUUUCCCUUACUAUUCAGCCAGAUUCUCCAUGUUAUAUUUAUCUAGAAUCAAGAAAUCGUUGAUUCCCUCAUCUGUUUUCACGAUUUUUACUGAUAGGCAGCCUAGGUUCUAUAGAAAUUUAACAAUGGCUUCCGGUUGUGGAAAUGAUUUGGUCACUUACGGCCAAAUUUCUCAAGCAGCUAGAAGAAAAGCUCGUAAGAAAGCUCAAGCUGCAUUGCUGGACUACUUGCAUUCAACUAGGAGCUUACAAUUUCUCGACGCAGACAACAUAAGCAAGAACUCACCUCAGUUCCUGGAGAAAAUACUUGCUCGGAUCGAUUACUCCGAGCAAGAUAUCGACAGAUCUAUCAGACGGUUCCUGCGGUAUCACCCUGUGAAUGAAUUCGAGCCGUUCUUCGAGAGUUUGGGUUUGAAUCCAGAUGACUACCCCUGCAUUCUUCCUGAACACAUGAUGUUUCUGAGCGAUGAUAGCUUGCUCCUUGAGAAUUAUCAUGUCUUGUGUGAAUAUGGGAUACCUAGAGAUAAGAUUGGGAAGCUUUUCAUCCGAGUUCCUGAGAUUUUUCGGCUUGAUCAUGGAGUCUUGGCAUCUAAACUUAAAGCAUGGGAAUGUGCAGGAAUCAGCAGGUAUUUUAUGGAUAAGGUAAUAGCUUCUAGCCCUCGUGUUUUGAUUGGAAAUGCUCAUGUUGACUUUAUUAGUGUGUUGACCAUUCUCGGAAAGGGCGGUCUUUCGUUAUCUUGUGUCGAAGAACAUCUACCGGAGAAUAUAGAUUGCACUUGGAGCCAGAUUCUAUCACUUGUCAAUUUGUUGCUGAAGCAUGGUUUAUGUGAAGAGCAAUUAUGCUCUCGGAUAGAUAUUUUAUUCGAGGAGCAGAAAAUACUGUCGGUUAUCGUGUUCUUGACGAAAUUUGGCACCCCAUUGCAUCAAGCUUGUGCAGUCAUUUUCGAGAAUCGAGGAAUUGAGAUUGGGAAGUUUCUGUCUAGUAUGAGACAGUGCUUUGUGUUCUUCAAUGAGAUUGACAUGGAACCGUUCGAGAUUGGGAAGAUUAUACGUUCUCGCCCGUUACUAUUAGGUUCAUGUACGUUGAAGAAAACCAGCACCUUGUUAUCUCGUCUGAAAUCUGGAAAGCUGAGGCUUUGUGAAGCGAUUCAGAAGGACCCUUUUCAGUUGAGGAAUUGGGUGAUUGGGGGUGAGAGCUGGUUUGAGUGAAGAGGAUGUUUGUGAAAUGAUCAAGGCGUGUCCUCUGAUUCUUAACCAGUCGAAGGAGGUUAUCGAAAUGAAGAUUCGUUUCGUUGUGAAUGAUUUGGGGUAUCCCGUGUCGUGCUUGGUUGGUUAUCCGAAGUUUUUGGUCCGUGCAGAGAAGUUUGUGAAGGUUAGGUUGUGUAUGUAUAAUUGGCUUAGAGAUCAAGGAGUCGUUGAUCGAAUUCUGGCUUUAAGUACUGUUCUUAAUUCGUCCGAGAGAUUGUUUGUUAAGCGGUAUGUGAACAUUCAUCCCAGAGGGCCAGAAGUGUGGCAGGAACUGAAGACGGAAAUCUAUGGUGGCUGAAAGGCUACUGUGUAAGUUGAACAUAACUGUAGGAAUGUCAAUAAUGUUUUCCAAACUCUUUAUAUGCAAAAUUAACCAACAUUGGGAUAUUAUUUUGUUGUCAGAAGCCAUAUAUAAUGUUGAUAUUGAGGAAGCAGUGAGCUACAAGAUCGAUCCGGUCAACAAAAAGGCAUACUGUCUACCGAGCAAGGCUCGGAAUCUAGGUGGCGGUGAGAACUGAGUUCGAAAUGGACUCCAAUGUGUUGGCUGGUGUAGGACAACAUGCUCAUUUCCUCAAGGUAUAGAACGAAUCCUGUGGAAUGAAAGUACGAGACUGAAUCAAUCUAAGAUUGCCUCUUUUCAUGAUACUUGGUGACUGAUGAUCACAGGAAGUUGACAGAUGCUCCCCAAGCUCGGGAGGUCUGUCAUCGACUGCUACGAGCCGGCCAGCCUCCAUUACAUUUAAGGUAAGGUUUAGCUCAAUAAUUUCUGGUAUGAAGCUCUCAUCCUGUUAUUUUUUCCCAGGAAGAAGUGCAUGCCAUAUUCAAAACACAGAGCUCGAAAAAGAAGAAUUCAAUUAUAAAAUUUAAUAAGAAUUAUAGUUGGACCUUAUUGCUUUAUCAUUCUUAUUUUUCUAUCGAUUGCUUAAUCCAAAUGUGCCCUAAUCAACUACCAAACACCAUUUUCGUUGUUAUUUCAGUUCCUAUCUGAUAAUGAUGUUGUCUUACGUUAGUUGGUUGCCUGGUUGGUGGUGUUAGCUCAAGUCCAACGAAUAAUCUGUCUUAAUUUAACCAGAUCGAUUCAUAAUUUGUUUAUCGAACAACUUGAUGGAAUUCACUUAUAGGAUGGAUGAGCUAUAUUUUGUUAUAAAAAAGAUUAUAAAAUUACAAUCGAUAUAUAAAAAACUAAAAUGAACCCGCUUAUUACAUCAGCUCAUCCAGUAAAGAAAACGUGUACUGGCCGACAGAGACUACCCACUGACAUUCAACACGGGUUAAUACUACUGUCGUCUGGUUCGAGUAAAUGUGCGCACAUGUCUUUUGCAGCCCAACCAACCCACCUAACCAUCACCGAAAACUCUACUCGAACCAAAACUCAAGCGAGAAAUGUCCCACUCAUGAUUCAUUUUGUAAAAACAUACGUCGAUUUCACCUCGAUGAGUGAGACAAGAUAAUAGUAGUUUGAUUUGGAGAGCUGAUUUAGAUAUAUCAUUGCCAUCGGUGAAUCCAGUUGAAUCUGUUGGAAUGUGUACCUUGAACAGUAGGCUACAACUAUAUCGUGAUAUAGAAAAAAGAAAAUUUUCGCCGUUUCUAGUGAGGAAGAAGACGGCGACACGCCAAUAUAUCGCGAUUUGUUACCGAAAAAUUAACGAUAAAGCAGGCGAUGAUGAUGAUGAUGAAAAAAAUGUUAAUGGUGCAGUAAGUGUUGCUAUACUAUUACCAAAUAUUUGAUUAAGGUUAGAUUUAUUUACAAUUUGAUACUUCUGAUAUAAACAACUUUUAAAUAUAUAUAAAUUUUUAGAAUAAAUAGCAAAAUUGAUCCUUAAUAUUUUAAUAUAUAUUAUAUUUUAACAAGUUAGAUUUUGAUAUUAAUUAAAUUCUUUAUAUUGUCGGUAUAAUCUAGUUUUAUCACUAACUUAUAAAUUAUGGUAUUUUACAAUUAAUAUAUAUUUAAUAUUACAAACAAUUAAACCGAUAUAAAACUGCGGCUGAACCAUCAAACCUUUUACUACUAAACUUUCCGAUAUAAUAUUCGUCACGAUUCUAACAACAUUAUAACUAACACGUAAAGAAGGAAUCUAGGAGAGUCACGACAACAACCACUACCACCGCCGGCCUAGCUACUGCAACAAAGUUUGAAAAUGGUGGCCAAAGCACAACGUAACCAAACUAACUACCCACCUCAAAAAGAAGUUGGUGUGGUAGUUAUCUUAUCCAGUCGUGCCAACUACUCUCAUUUCCAAUCCCCAUUACCUAAAAAGUCGUCAUAUUUAAUUUCAGCAACCUUCACUUCCACAAAUGGACCAUCACCUUCACUAAGCUUCCUUGGCUUCCUUCCUCCUUUCCUAGCUAAAUCUCUCUAAUUCUCAAAUCGUCUGAUAAAGUAUUUUAGAGUUGUGUGUGAGCGAUUCGGAAGUACUGGAUUUCAAUCCAAUACAUCUUACAAACGGACAACAAUCUUGUACCGACCUGGAGGUUUGAAAUUUUAUAUGUGAUACUAUCAGUGUUGUUUAGGAUUCAACCGCUAUAAAAUUUUGAAUCAUCGAUUAGAUAUGUCUAAGAAAUCUUCUUAAAAUUUCUUUCAGUUUCAUGUCUCGUUGAAAAUGAAUAAAACUUUAGAAAUAUUCUAACAUCAUAACCUUGAAUCUCCAUUAAAAUGUUUAUUUGAAAAUUUUUCAUUUGAUAUCGUUAAGCCAUUAAAAUCUUCAUAACUGUUACAUAUUGUUUUUUCUAUUUAGACCUACGUAAUCAUUUCAUGUUAAUUUUUCGUUCAUUAAACUCAAAAAAUGAAAUAAAAAUUCAUAGUAUUGACUUAAUAAAAACUCGAACCAUGAGAUUGACACAUGCGAUGUUGUACUGAUGAUUACUUAUAAUGUUUGAUUUCACAUAGUAAAUAUGACUAGUCAUUUGAAACCGAGUUUGGUUUUGAUUCCGGUCAGUGUUUGGUAUGACAUCCGGUUCGAUUCGAACCAUAUUAAUCAAUGCUUUUAGGUCCCUAUUGUACUAUGUUUAAAAGCUGGCACACAACUCUGUUACGUUUACAUCCACCAUCCAUUAUAUUCACGGAACCGAAUCAAACAGAGGAAAGAAACAAUUUUUCUCUGAUGGAAGAAGCCAAAAUUGUUGCGGCACCGCUGAUCGGAAUCCUUGCAUGGGCGGCGUACAAGUCCCUCCGAGCGCCGCCACCGAAGAUUCCGGGAACUCCGGGAGGACCUCCGGUGACCGCAUCCCGAAUGAAGCUCCGGGACGGCAGACACCUCGCUUACCAGGAAAACGGCGUACCAAAAGAAACCGCCAAAUUCAAGAUUGUCUUCGUUCACGGAUUCACCUCUAACCGCCUCGACCCGAUGAUCGUCACCAAUCUCUCUCCGGUAAUCCAUUCGUCUCUCCAGCUUCCGAUCAAACUUCUGUGAAUUAUUGAUUGUAAAUUGGGUGGGGGGGAUUUUUAACUGCAGGAAGCUGUGAAAGAGCUUGGAGUGUAUGUGGUGACAUUCGACCGCCCGGGUUACGGGGAGAGCGACCCGGAUCCGACCCGGACGCCGAAGAGCUUGGCUCUGGACAUUGAAGAGCUAGCGGAUUAUCUCGGGCUCGGAUCGAAAUUCUACGUGGUGGGUAAAUCCAUGGGCGGUCAGGUUCUUUGGGGUUGCCUGAAGUACAUACCUCACAGGUAAUCAAAUAUUAAAAUUGAUUGAUUUUGGAGCUUAAAAUUUUCAGGACUCUGUUUUUUCUGAAAAUCCUCUGUUUUUUUAUUAGGCUGGCAGGAGCGGCGUUAGUGGCGCCGGUGAUCAAUUACUGGUGGCAGAGCUUCCCCAAGGAGCUAGCAAAGGAAGCUUACAAUCAGCAGCUUCCUCAGGAUCAAUGGGCGCUGAGAAUCGCCCAUUACGCACCCUGGCUGACGUACUGGUGGAACACGCAGAAGAUUUUCCCUUCGUCGGCGGUGAUCGCGCGGCGGCCGGAGACCCUGUCGGCGCAGGAUAAGGAGCUGAUAGCCAAGCAGGGCGGCGAAGGGCGGUAUCUUAAGGAAGUGGCGACUCAGCAAGGGGAGCAUGAGUCCUUACACAGGGACAUGCGGGUCGGGUUUGGGAAGUGGGAGUUCGACCCGAUGCAGAUGGAGAAUCCGUUUCCCGGCAAUGGAGGGUGUAGGGUGCAUCUGUGGCAAGGGGAUGAGGAUAAGAAAGUUCCGGUGCAGUUGCAGCGGUUCAUUGUGAAGAAGCUGACGUGGAUUAAGUACCAUGAGUUGCCCGGUGCGGGACAUGCGUUGCAUUUUGUUCCCGGGAUGAUUGAAGGCGUUCUUCGGGCUCUGUUGGUCGGAGAAGAUAAGUAGCGACAGACGCCGGCGGCGAGGAUGAGGAAAAAUUGAAGGCGUAUAGAGAUGUUAUUUGGGUUUGUGUAUUUUCAUAUUUUGUUUAUUUUUCAUUCUCAUCCUUAUUUGUAUAAUAUUGAAAUUCAAUAAUAUUUGAUGUGUCAAAUCGAGAGUUUAAGUAAAGCACAACAGCCUAAUUAUUUACAACUGCGGUUAUUCAGUUUAAUCAAAUUCGUGAUUGAAUUCAGAUAAACCGCAACCCAAAAGGGAGUGUAUUGUGAAAUCGAAAUGAAAUUUUGGCCUAAUCCGGUUAAUUAAAAUUGGUUAUGUAAUUGGUUAACAUGUACAAGAUCAGAAGUUCAAAACGAAAUCAAUUACAGUAAACCUAAAUUAGUCAUUUCCAGUGCGGGCAUGAUCAUGAGUUCGAAUCAAAUUCAAAAUCGAUACAUUUAACCAAUUUAGAUCGAAUUACCGGCCCUACUCACAAUUAUGACAUUGGCCAAGUUUAGAGUUGAAUUUAUGAAAGACCAUUGUAAAUGACAUACUCCAGCAAU